CGUGUUUUUGUGUUUUGUGUCAUAGGUGGUGGCUCCGGUGCCCUUGUAUGUCGUUCCAAUCCCAGCCGUGACACGGGCUCCAAGGGUCUGCGCAACCAAGACGAAGCUCCAGAGGGCUCCAAUGCCCCCCAACGCAGGACCAAGACCGCCGCCACCAAGAACAAGGAGCCCUCCAUGGGCAUGGAUGAGAUACCACUUGCUGAGUUUGUCACUCGAAGGAAGAUCAACCCCUAUGUGAAUCCUCGUGCCAACUUCAGAGGGAAUGAUCUGUUCUGGACCAAGCAGCAGAAUCUCAUUUAUCUGGAUGUGAUCAAGGCCAAGCAGAACAUAUAUGUGGACGUGCACUGGAUUGACAUGAAUCAUAUGAAGGAGGAUAAGCACCGUGACUACUUUGGUGAGGCUUUGGACCUCGUGGAGUAGUUUGGCAUUAAGCACGUGAUCUCCUUCCAUCUGGAUUAUGACCCUGAGAUUGUGGCCCAGUUCUUUGCCUCGGUCCACUUCCAUACUGAUGAGGAACGGUCCAUGACUUGGAUGACCAAUGGACAACAGAUGACUGCUAAGUGGAAGGACUUCAUGGAUUUGCUACAGGUGCCUGAUGAGGGACUCAACACGUCCGUUGGUGUCCGCCCUCAUGCCAACCCGAGUCCGCUAACAAGAACAAGCUCCAGCAGUACUAUGUUGAGAAGAAGCUUCGCAAUGACAAGAAGACGUGGGUGCUGAACCCAUUCCUUGACAUCAUGCACCGGAUCUUCCGCAACUCCCUCUUUCCACGCAUUGGUGAUACGUCUCCAAUGUAUCUAUAAUUUUUGAUUGUUCCAUGCUAUUAUAUUAUCUGUUUUGGAUGUUUAAUGGGCUUUAUUAUACACUUUUAUAUUAUUUUUGGGACUAACCUACUAACCAAAGGCACAGUGCAAAUUGCUGUUUUUUUUGCCUAUUUCAGAGUUUCGCAUAGAAGGAAUAUCAAAUGGAAUGAAACCUUCGGGAGAGUGAUUUUUGGAACAAACGCAAUCCAGGAGACUUGGAGUGGACAUCAAGGAAGCGACGAGGUGGCCACGAGGCAGGGAGGCGCCCCCAGGGGGGUAGGCGCGCCCCCCAUCCUCGUGGGCCCCUCGUGGCUCCCUUGACCGACUUCUUUCGCCUAUAUAUACUCAUAUACCCCGAAAACAUCCAAGAGCACCAUGAAACCCUAUUUCCACCGCCGCAACCUUCUGUACCCGUGAGAUCCCAUCUUGGGGCCUUUUCCGGUGCUCCGCCGGAGGGGGCAUCUACAUCAACACCAUAGCCUCUCCGAUGAUGUGUGAGUAGUUUACCACAGACCUUCGGGUCCAUAGUUAUUAGCUAGAUGGCUUCUUCUCUCUCUUUGGAUCUCAAUACAAAGUUCUCCUCAAUCGUCUUGGAGACCUAUUCGAUGUAAUUCUUUUUCCGGUGUGUUUGUCGAGAUCCGAUGAAUUGUGGGUUUAUGAUCAAGAUUAUCUAUGAACAAUAUUUGAAUCUCCUCUGAAUUCUUUUAUGUAUGAUUUGAUAUCUUUGCAAGUCUCUUCGAAUUAUCAGUUUGGUUUGGCCUACUAGAUUGAUCUUUCUUGCAAUGGGAGAAGUGCUUAGCUUUGGGUUCAAUCUUGUGGUGUCCUUUCCCAGUGACAGCAGGGCAGCAAGGCACACAUUGUAUUGUUGCCAUUGAGGAUAAAAAGAUGGGGUUUAUAUCAUAUUGCUUGAGUUUAUCCCUCUACAUCAUGUCAUCUUGCCUAAUGCGUUACUCUGUUCUUAUGAACCUAAUACUCUAGAUGCAUGCUGGAUAGCGGUCGAUGUGUGGAGUAAUAGUAGUAGAUGCAGAAUCGUUUCGGUCUACUUGUCACGGACGUGAUGCCUAUAUACAUGAUCAUGCCUAGAUAUUCUCAUAACUAUGCACUUUUCUAUCAAUUGCUCGACAGUAAUUUGUUCACCCACCGUAGAUACUAUCUUGAGAGAAGCCACUAGUGAAACCUAUGGCCCCGGGUCUAUUUUCCAUCAUAUAAGUUUCCAAUCUAUUUUACUUUGCAAUCUUUACUUUCCAAUCUAUACAACAAAAAUACAAAAAAUAUUUACUUUACUAUCUCUAUCAGAUCUCACUUUUGCAAGUGGCCGUGAAGGGAUUGACAACCCCUUUAUUGCGUUGGUUGUAAGGUUCUUAUUUGUUUGUGUAGGUACGAGGUGACUUGCGUGUAGUCUCCUACUGGAUUGAUACCUUGGUUCUCAAAAACUGAGGGAAAUACUUACGCUAGUUUGCUGCAUCACCCUUUUCUCUUCAAGGGAAAACCAACGCAGUGCUCAAGAGGUAGCAAGAAGGAUUUCUGGCGCCGUUGCCGGGGAGAUCUACGCUAAGUCAAGACAUACCAAGUACCCAUCACAAACUCUUGUCCCUCGCAUUACAUUAUUUGCCAUUUGCCUCUCGUUUUCCUCUCCCCCACUUCACCUUUGCCUUUUCUUCGCCCCUCUUCCGUUCGUUUGCUUGUGUUGCCAUGUGCCUUCUAUGUGCUUGCAUCUUCGCUUGCUAAAAAUAUAUUGAUAUGGAUCCUCAUCCCCCUUGCUAAUAUUUUUAAGAGAUCCAAUUAUGAUGAACCAAUUGCUAGUGAGUUGUGUGCACUAGAUUAUCUAUAUGAGGUUUUGCUUGAAAUCCGUGAAUCUGGAAAUUGUGAUGAAGUACUUUAUGAAGUGAUUCAUGGUAGAUCUUUGAAUGAAAAACAUGAUUGCAAUGAUGGUAUUAUAAAUUCUAUUAAUGUCAGUUGUGCUAAUAAUAUGCAAAACCCUAAGCUUGGGGAUGCUAGUUUUGCUAUAUCCUCCACUUGUUGCAAUGAUCAUGAUUGGGGUGAUUCUUCUUAUGAUCUUGAAAAUUUAUUUAAGCCUCAUGAUGAAUAUGAGAUUGAUAAUAAUGUUUGCAAUAAUAUUGAAAGUGGUUUUGGAAGAGUGUCAAAUUUAGAUCCCACAUGUUUUGAGAAUGUUCAAUCUUAUAAAGUGUUUGAUAAAAGUGGGUUCGGAGAGGUCAUGACUUUAGUUGAUAAUAAUCCCACUAUUUUGGAAGAGUGUCAACUUUGCAUGCAUGUGGAUCAUAUAGAGAAUAUUUUAUGUGAUAGCUAUAUUGUUGAAUUUGAUUAUGAUCCUACAUGUAAUUAUUAUGAGAGAGGAAAAUAUGGUUGUAGCAAUUUUCAUGCCACUAAAUUUCCUCUCGUUAUGUUGAGAUUGUUAUUGUUUCUUUCUUCUUCCUUGCAUAUGCUAGAUCUUGCUUGUCAAGCUAAUUUGUUUUCCUAUAAAAUUCCUAUGCAUAGGAAGUAUGUUAGACUUAGAUCUGAUUUUCACAUGCUUUAUGAUGCUCUCUUUGUGUUUCAAUUACUAUCUUUCAUGUGAGCAUCAUUGAAAUUAUCACUGCCUAGCUAGGGGUAUUAAACGAUAGCGCUUGUUGGGAGGCAACCCAAUUUUAUUUUUGUUCCUUGCUUUUUGUUCCUGUUUAGUAAUAAAUAAUUCAUCAAGCCUCUGUUUAGAUGUGUUUUUAUGUUUUAAUUAGUGUUUGUGCCAAGUAGAACCUUUGGGAAGACUUGGGUGAAGUCUUUGCGAUCUUGCUGUAAAAAAACAGAAACUUUAGCGCUCACGAGAUUAGCUGCCAUUUUUUAAUGGAGAGUGAUUUUAGGUUGAUUAUUUCUGAAGAUGAUUAAUAGACAAAUUCCUCACGUCCACCAAUUUAUUUCAGAAUUUUUGGAGUUCCAGAAGUAUACGUUUGAUACAGAUUACUACAGACUGUUCUGUUUUUGACAGAUUCAUUUUUUCGUGUGUUGUUUGCUUAUUUUGAUGAAUCUAUGGCUAGUAUCGGGGGGUAUGAACCAUAGAGAAGUUGGAAUGCGGUAGGUUUAACACCAAUAUAAAUAAAGAAUGAGUUCAUUACAGUAACUUAAAGUGGUGGUUUGUUUUCUUGCACUAACGGAGCUCAUGAGAUUUUCUGUUGAGUUUUGUGUUGUGAAGUUUUCAAGUUUUGAGUAAAGAUUUGAUGGAUUAUGGAAUAAGGAGUGGAAAGAGCCUAAUCUUGGGGAUUCCCAAGGCACACCAAGGUAAAAUUCAAGUACAACCAAAAUUCAUCCAUCGGUAACUUUACUUGAUGCUAUAUUUUUAUUUACCACAUGAUAUGUGUUUUGCUUGGAGCGUCUUGUAUGAUUUGAGUCUUUGCUUUUUAGUUUACCACAAUCAUCCUUGCUGUACACACCUUUUAUAGAGACACACAUGAAUCGGAAUUUAUUAGAAUACUCUAUGUGCUUCACUUAUAUCUUUUGAGCUAGAUAAUUUUGCUUUAGUGCUUCACUUAUAUCUUUUAGAGCACGGUGGUGGUUUUAUUUUAUAGAAAUUAUUGAUCUCUCAUGCUUCACUUAUAUUAUUUUGAGAGUCCUUUAGAACAGCAUGGUAAUUUUCUUUGGCUAUAAAAUUAGUCCUAAUAUGAUAGGCAUCCAAGAUUGGUAUAAUAAAAACUUUCAUAAAAGUGCAUUGAAUACUAUGAGAAGUUUGAUACUUGAUGAUUGUUUUGAGAUAUGAAGAUGGUAAUAUUAGAGUCGUGCUAGUUGAGUAGUUGUGAAUUUGAGAAAAACUUGUGUUGAAGUUUGCAAGUCCCGUAGCAUGCACGUACGGUAACCGUUGUGUAACAAAUUUGAAACAUGAGGUGUUCUUUGAUUGUCAUCCUUAUGAGUGGCGGUCGGGGACGAGCGAUGGUCUUUUCCUACCAAUCUAUCCCCCUAGGAUCAUGCGCGUAAUGCUUGGUUUUUGAUGACUUGUAGAUUUUUGCAAUAAGUAUGUGAGUUCUUUAUGACUAAUGUUGAGUCCAUGGAUUAUACGCACUUUCACCUUUCCAUCAUUGCUAGCCUCUUCGGUACCGUGCAUUGCCCUUUAUCACCUUGAGAGUUGGUGCAAACUUCGCCGGUGCAUCCAAACCCCGUGAUACGAUACACUCUAUCACACAUAAACCUCCUUAUAUAUUCCUCAAAACAGCCACCAUACCUACCUAUUAUGGCAUUUCCAUAGCCAUUCCGAGAUAUAUUGCCAUGCAACUUUCCACCAUUUCAUUUAUUAUGACACGCUUCGUCAUUGUCAUAUUGCGUUGCAUGAUCAUGUAGUUGACAUCGUAUUUGUGGCAAAGCCACCAUGCAUAAUUUAUCAUACAUGUCACUCUUGAUUCAUUGCCCAUCCCGGUACACUGCCGGAGGCAUUCAUAUAGAUUCUUGUUCUAGUAUCGAGUUGUAAUCAUUGAGUUGUAAAUAAAUAGAAGUGUGAUGAUCAUCAUUAAUAGAGCAUUGUCCCAAAUAAAAAAAGGCCAAAUAAAAAAAGGAAAGCCCCCCCCCCCAAAGAGAAAAGAAAUAAAAAGGGACAAUGCUACUAUCCUUUUUUCCACACUUGUGCUUCAAAGUAGCACCAUGAUCUUUGUGAUACGGAGUCUCUUGUUUUGUCACUUUCAUAUACUACUGGGAAUUUUUCAUUAUGGAACUUGGCUUGUAUAUUCCAACAAUGGGCUUCCUCAAAUGCCCUAGGUCUUCGUGAGCAAGCAAGUUGGAUGCACACCCACUUAGUUUCUUUUGUUGAGCUUUCAUACAUUUAUAACUCUAGUGCAUCCGUUGCAUGGCAAUCCCUACUCCUUGCAUUGACAUCAAUUGAUGGGCAUCUCCCUAGCCCGUUGAUUAGUCGCGUCAAUGUGAGACUUUCUCCUUUUUUGUGUUCUCCACAUAACCCCCAUCAUUAUAUUCUAUUCCACCCAUAGUGCUAUAUCCAUGGCUCACGCUCAUGUAUUGCGUGAAAGUUGAAAUUUUUUGAGAUUACUAAAGUAUGAAACAAUUGCUUGGCUUGUCAUCGGGGUUGUGCAUGAUGAGAGCAUUCUUGUGUGACGAAAAUGGAGCACAUGACCAAACUAUAUGAUUUUGUAGGGAUGAACUUUCUUUGGCCAUGUUAUUUUGUAGACAUGAUUGCUUAGUUAGUAUGCUUGAAGUAUUAUUAUUUUUAUGUCAAAAUUGAACGUUUAUCUUGAAUCUUUCGGAUCUGAACAUUCAUGCCACAAUAAAAAAAUUACAUUGAAAAAUAUGCUAGGUAGCAUUCCACAUCAAAAAUUCUGUUUUUAUCAUUUACCUACUCGAGGACGAGCAUGAAUUAAGCUUGGGGAUGCUUGAUACGUCUCCAACGUAUCUAUAAUUUUUGAUUGUUCCAUGCUAUUAUAUUAUCUGUUUUGGAUGUUUAAUGGGCUUUAUUAUACACUUUCAUAUUAUUUCUGGCUUAACCUACUAACCAAAGGCCCAGUGCAAAUUGGUGUUUUUUUGCCUAUUUCAGUGUUUCGCAGAAAAGGAAUAUCAGACGGAAUCCAAACGGAAUGAAACCUUCGGGAGAGUGAUUUUUGGAACAAACGCAAUCCAGGAGACUUGGAGUGGACGUCAAGGAAGCGGCGAGGUGGCCACGAGGCAGGGAGGCGCGCCCCCACCCUCGUGGCUCCCCUGACCGACUUCUUUCGCCUAUAUAUACUCAUAUACCCCGAAAACAUCCAAGAGCACCACGAAACCCUAUUUCCACCGCCGCAACCUUCUGUACCCGUGAGAUCCCAUCUUGGGGCCUUUUCCGGCGCUCCGCCGGAGGGGGAAUCAAUCAUGGAGGGCUUCUACAUCAACACCAUAGCCUCUCCGAUGAUGUGUGAGUAGUUUACCACAGACCUUCGGGUCCAUAGUUAUUAGCUAGAUGGCUUCUUCUCUCUCUUUGGAUCUCAAUACAAAGUUCUCCUCAAUCUUCUUGGAGAUCUAUUCGAUGUAAUUCUUUUUGCGGUGUGUUUGUCGAGAUCUGAUGAAUUGUGGGUUUAUGAUCAAGAUUAUCUAUGAACAAUAUUUGAAUCUCCUCUGAAUUCUUUUAUGUAUGAUUUGAUAUCUUUGCAAGUCUCUUUGAAUUAUCAGUUUGGUUUGGCCUACUAGAUUGAUCUUUCUUGCAAUGGGAGAAGUGCUUAGCUUUGGGUUCAAUCUUGCGGUGUCCUUUCCCAGUGACAGCAGGGGCAGCAAGGCAUGCAUUUUAUUGUUGCCAUCGAGGAUAAAAAGAUGGGGUUUAUAUCAUAUUGCUUGAGUUUAUCCCUCUACAUCAUGUCAUCUUGCCUAAUGCGUUACUCUGUUCUUAUGAACUUAAUACUCUAGAUGCAUGCUGGAUAGCGGUCGAUGUGUGGAGUAAUAGUAGUAGAUGCAGAAUCGUUUCGGUCUACUUGUCACGGACGUGAUGCCUAUAUACAUGAUCAUGCCUAGAUAUUCUCAUAACUAUGCACUUUUCUAUCAAUUGCUCGACAGUAAUUUGUUCACCCACCGUAGAUGCUAUCUUGAGAGAAGCCACUAGUGAAACCUAUGGCCCCCGGGUCUAUUUUCCAUCAUAUAAGUUUCCAAUCUAUUUUACUUUGCAAUCUUUACUUUCAAUCUAUAUCAUAAAAAUACCAAAAAUAUUUAUCUUAUUAUCUCUAUCAGAUCUCACUUUUGCAAGUGGCUGUGAAGGGAUUGACAACCCCUUUAUCGCAUUGGUUGCAAGGUUCUUAUUUGUUUGUGUAGGUACGAGGCGACUUGCGUGUAGUCUCCUACUGGAUUGAUACCUUGGUUCUCAAAAACUGAGGGAAAUACUUACGCUACUUUGCUGCAUCACCCUUUCCUCUUCAAGGGAAAACCAAUGCAGUGCUCAAGAGGUAGCAAUUGGUGACAAGGACAAGGUGCAUGCCUAUCUUGUGGAUAUGAUGCUCAUUUGUGAGGAGCACGUCUCGCUCAGACACAACCACUUGACGUCUCACAAAUCAUGUGGUGCGAGCUUUGGUUUGCGGUGUUCAGCCGUAAGGUACCCAUCUAUGGCCCUUACCUGUUUCUCUUGAUCACGAGGACUUGGGAGAAGCUCUAUCCGGAUGAUGAGUUUGUUGCCCCUGAUUGGAUCCGUCACGACCCCAUCAGGCUCCGCAUCAAGCCUCAGUGGGCUAACACCACUACUCGUGCUGAGGAAGAGGCUGCUAGAAUGGAUGUUGAUGAGGAUGAGAUUGAGGAGGAGGAAGCGGAUGAGGACAGCUCAGCUGGGUAUACCCCUCCCUCUACUGAGCCUCCAUGGGCUAAGAAGCUGAAGGCCAAGAUGAAGGCUUUGUUCUGCAUGCAAGCUAAGGGGCAGUACAGGACUCAUGUUGCUUCCAAGCAGAGUCGCCGCCGCGACAAGAGAAUCUUGAGGACAUUUGGAGAGGACAUUACCAGCGGAUCCGAGAAGCACAUCACUCCAGAGGCUGAAUGGAUGGUGAAACAGGGUUACAAGUGGACUAAUUCUGAGGAGGAGCCCAUCCCCACUGCUGAGACCGACGAGGAGCAUGACGAGUGAUCGCUUCAGCUUGAGCCACCACUUGUGUCGUAGGUGUCCUCUCUGCCUUUUUGGUGUCUCGAUGCCAAAGGGGGAGAGAGUGUAGGAUUUGCGAGUCAUGUGUCGUGUUUCGUCUUGUCGCUUUGCUUUUGUUCCGUUGAACCUCGUUUGCUUUGGUUUGGUUUGUGCUUGUGAGACCUUUCUAUCAUAUGGUGUAAGACAUAUGCACUCUAGCGUACCUUAUUGAGCCUAUGCUAUCAUGUGCUCUUUACUUUAUGCUCUUAGUUAUUAUCUUGCUUAGUGUUAGCUUUAUUGUUGCAAGAUAUGCCUUAUCUAUAAAAUAUAGGGGGAGUGUUGAUCCUAGUAUGUGUGCCGUGCAGUCCAAAGCACUUCUCUAGAUAGCACACAUCUAGGGGGAGCCCGUCUAUAUUUUAGAGACGUGGGGUUUGUCCAUGAUUCUAUGUUAUCUCCCUUUGUGCAAAUCUUGUAUUGUCAUCAAUCCACCAAAAAGGGGGAGAUUGUAAGGGCAUAUUUAUCCCUUAGUUGUUUUGGUGAUUGAUGACAAUGCUUUUGCGGACUAAUCGUGUGCACUGAGCAUUUCAGACAUAUCAUGACUAGGCACAAGACGAUUUGGUGCCCCUCAAAGACUUUUGAAGACGACGUUUCUCUACGUUUCUUUUCGGUGGAUUUGAGUCGUAGGAAAGCCGUACUAUUAAUAGGGAGUCCGCGUUGGAAAAGUUUGGGUGGAAUCAACACGUACACGUCUGUUCCUUUUUGCACCACCUUUCCUUUGGCUCUUUGGAGCAUCCUCCGUUUUUCCGUGUCUCUGCAAAAUGAAGGACUCCUAGUGUUGCUGAACUGGGGCAUGCAGUAGUACUGCUCUUCGGAGCGGUAGUACCGCAGGUGCCCAUGGUAGUACCGCUCAUUGGGAGCGGUAGUACUGUGGCCCAAGGGCAGGCCCAGCGGCUCGAGCAGCUGUAGGGGCAGAUGUAAUUUUUUACGUCCGCGCCCUACACGGUAGUACCGCGCCUCGGGCGCGGUAGUACCGCGAGCUCUGGGCAGGCGCGGCAACAUAAGCGGAAGUAGGGGCGGAUGUAAUUUUUUACAUCCGCGCCCUACACGGUAGUACCGCUCCAGGCUUGCGGUACUACUGAGGGAGUCCUGGACUAAGGGGUCCUCGGGCGUCCGACCCAUUAUCCAAGGGCCGGAAUGAUGGGCUGUGAAGAUAUGAAGGCCGAAGACUGUACCCGUUUCCGGAUUGGACUCUACUUGGCGUGGAAGGCAAGCUUGGCGACCGAAGAUUCCUUCUUAUGUAACCGACUCUGUGUAAACCCUAGAUCCCCCGGUGUCUAUAUAAACCGGAGGGGUUAGUCCGGAAAUGAUAGACAUUACCAUGGUCAUAUAGGCUAGACUUCUAGGGUUUAGCCAUUACGUUCUCGUGGUAGAUCAACUCUUGUAACACUCAUAUUCAUCAAGAUCAAUCAAGCAGGAAGUAGGGUAUUACCUCCAUAGAGAGGGCCUGAACCUGGGUAAACAUCGUGUCCCCCGUCUCCUGUUACCAUCGAUCCUAGAUGCACAGUUCGGGACCCCCUACCCGAGAUCCACCGGUUUUGACACCGACAUUGUGCUUUCAUUGAGAGUUCCACUGUGUCGUCGACGAAAGGUUCGAUGGCUCCUUCAAUCGUCGAUAGGGACGCUAUCCAAGGAGAAACCUUCCUCCCCGGACAGAUUUUUGUGUUUGGUGACUUUGUACUGCGGGCCAACUCGCUUGGCCAUCUGGAGCAGGUCGAUAGCUACGCCCCUGGUCAUCAGGUCAGAUUUGGAAGCUUGAACUACAUUGCAGAUACCCGUGGAGACUUGAUCUUCAGUGGGUUUGAGACCGCGGCGAUUGCUCUCCCUCGCCCCGAUGAACAUGACUUAGAUCUGUCAUCGGAUCACAUCCAGGAGAUGGUUCCUGUUGCUGCAACGACCCUAGAACCGAAGCAAAUCGUGCCCUCCGAGGCCACAAAGUCCGCGGCGUUAGAGCCACACACGGACUCGACAUCCUGCAAUAUUUGCGUCAAUGGAACUCGGAACUCGUCUCCGGCUAUAAGUUCCGGACCAGGUACGCCUGCGGACACCGAGCUGGAUCGGUUAUCAAUUUUUGAAUUUAGCGCCGUAGACAUCUUCCAGCACUCACCUUUUGGUGACGUGCUAAACUCUUUAAAGAACUUGUCCUUGGAGGAGGACUCACAGCUGAACUAUGUUCGGUUCGAGCUAGAGGCGGAUGACGAGGAAUUUUGCUUCCCACCCGCCACCCACAUCAUAGCCACUGUCGAUGACUUAACCGACGUGCUUGACUAUGGCUCUGAAGACAUCGACGGUAUGGACGAUGAUGCCGACAAGGAGCAAGGCCUAGACCCGCCAUUCACUGGACGUUGGACAGCCACCUCUUCGUACGACGUGUACAUGGUUGAUACACCUAAAGGAUUUGGCGACGACAAAGAAGAUCCAGAUGCGAAUAAACCCUCUGAGACGCAGUCCAAGCGCUGGCGGUCCAAAUGCCGUUCUAAGCCCCGUCGCUCAAAAGAUGGCAACACUAGCACCGGAGAAAAUAGUACUCCGGGCGACGCCCAGACCAUGUCGGGGCUGCAUCCGAACAGGAGGAACACGACAACGGGCAAGAUAACCCUGAUGAACAGGCCAUAGAAGAUGACUCGGAGGACGAUAGUUACCGUCCACCCUCCGAGGAGGAGUCAAGCCUCGGCAACGAAGACUUCAUCGUACCUGAGGAUCCUCUGGAGCAGGAGCGCUUUAAGCUUCAGCUCAUAGCCACUGCAAGGAGCCUGAAAAAGAAACAGCAGCAGCUUCAAGCUGAACAAGAUCUGCUCGUCGACAGAUGGACUGAUGUCCUUGACAGCCGAAGAAUACGGCUUCAAGCACCCAUCCAAGAGCUACCCAAAACGCAGACUGCUACCUCAAUACGAUGAGGAGGCGCCGGAGCACAUAUCUCCCUCGCGUAAUGCGGAACGACCACCACAUGGUCGAGACAGGGCGGCCGACCGGCCACCCCGCGGUCGGGAUAAAGCGGCAACUCAGGCUAGUAGCCUGCCCCACUGCCCCGUAAAAAUAGAGACGGAAGAGUUCGGGUUCAUACGUACAACCUCCAGCAGACCCUGGACAGUGGAGCAGGACAUACAAGAUCGAUCUACGGAUCGCGAGGACGUGCCUCAAGGCACGACGACGACGGCUACCUAUUCAGACGUGACAAACCAACCCACGCCCGGGCCGAACGCCGCAGACUGACUCCAUCAGAGCUACGCCGCGAUGCGGCCCGAUAUAGAGGCGCCGCACACCCUCUUUGCUUCACAGAUGAAGUACUGGAUCAUGAAUUCCCUGAGGGGUUCAAGCCUGUCAAUAUCGAAUCAUACGACGGCACAACCGAUCCUGCAGUAUGGAUCAAGGAUUUUAUUCUCCAUAUCCAUAUGGCUCGAGGAGAUGACCUCCACGCCAUUAAAUACCUCCCACUAAAGCUCAAAGGGCCAGCUCGGCACUGGCUUAACAGCCUGCCUAAAAAUUCUAUCGGCAGCUGGGAGGACUUGGAAGAAGCCUUCCUGGACAACUUCCAAGGAACCUAUGUCCGGCCACCAGACGUCGACGACUUAAGCCACAUAGUUCAACAACCUGGAGAAUCAGCCAGAAAAUUCUGGACUAGGUUCCUAACCAAAAAGAACCAGAUCGUUGACUGUCCGGAUGCUGAGGCCCUAGCAGCCUUCAAACACAGCAUCCGUGACAAAUGGCUAGCACGCCACCUCGGCCAAGAAAAGCUGAAGUCUAUGGCAGCCCUUACGGCACUCAUGACCCGCUUUUGCGCAGGUGAGGAUAGCUGGCUGGCUCGUAGCAAGAACACAGCCAGCGAGGCAGGCCCCUCUGAGGCCAAGAACAGCACCAGCAAGCUCCGGCGCAAUAGACACAAACGCCGAAGCAAUGGCGACAACACCGAUGACACCACAGUUAACGCCGGAUUCAGUGGCUCCAAGUCCGGCCAACGGAAGAAGCCCUACAAAAGAAACAAUGAAGGACCUUCCAGCCUAGACCGCAUAUACGACCGUCCGUGCCAGAUACAUGGCACCCAGAUAAACAGGCCAAUCACACCAACAGAGACUGUUGGGUUUUCAAACAGGCUGGCAAGUUAAACGCUGAAAACAAAGAAAAGGGAUCACAAAGUGAGGACGAGGACGAAGAGCCCCGGCAGCCGAACACUAGGGGACAGAAGAAAUUUCCCCCUCAAGUCAAAAUGGUGAACAUGAUAUACGCUACACACAUCCCCAAAAAGGAGCGCAAGCGAGCACUUAGGGACGUCUAAGCGGUAGAGCCAGUCGCCCCCAAAUUCAACUCGUGGUCAUCAUUCCCGAUCACCUUCGAUCGUCAAGAUCACCCAACUAGUAUCCGCCAUGGCGGUUCAGCCGCACUAGUCCUCGACCCAAUUCUUGACGGGUUUCACCUAACACGAGUCCUGAUGGACGGUGGUAGCAGCCUCAACCUGCUUUAUCAGGACACAGUGCGGAAGAUGGGCAUUAACCCCUUAUGAAUCAAACCAACGAAGACUACCUUUAAAGGAGUCAUACCAGGUGUCGAGGCCUGCUGUACAGGCUCAAUCACGCUGGAGGUGGUCUUCGGUUCCCCGGACAACUUCCGAAGCGAAGAGUUAAUCUUUGAUAUCGUCCCCUUCCGCAGCGGCUAUCACGCACUGCUCGGACGAACCGCGUUUGCUAGAUUCAACGCAGUGCCACACUAUGCUUAUCUCAAGCUCAAGAUGCCUGGUCCACGCGGCGUCAUAACAGUCAAUGGCAAUACAGAACGCUCCCUUCACACAGAAGAGCACACCGCCGCCCUAGCAGCAGAAGUACAGAGUGGCCUUCUCAAGCAACACCAUAGUACGGCUGUCGAGCCCCUGGACAUCCUUAAGAGGUUCCGGACUACACUGCAACAGGACGGCGUGGCUCAUCAAGAGCUCGAUUAACAAUUCGGCCUCCGUCCCAGUCCUGAUGAAGCAGUGGCAUUCAUACCACGCGUACAUAAUUACGCACUUAAAAUUCCAUGGACAUCGACGGAGGCACAAGCUAGCCCGGGAUCUACAGUUCGGCUAGACCGAUCCCGGACACACAUACUUUCAAUUGUUCUUCUUGUUUCAGGUUCCUUUUCCCGCGGGCCUGAUCACCAGUCCUUUCGAAGGAUUGGCAUACAACGGAGGCAAGCAGCACAGGUGUGUAGGGUAACCUCUAUACGUUCUUCUUGACGGUAUUUAUACUUAUUUCUCAGGACCCGCACGCUGCGCCCUAUUGAUUCCGGCAUGAUAAAUAGCCCGGAUACGUAUCGCACCAUCUGUACAAGAUACGCCUUGAUGUAUACAUCCAGUUAUAGUAAAAAUGGUUUGCGGCCCAAGUUCUGUGGUUUUCGCUUCUUACUUCAUUUUAUUUCGAUCUGCUUAUCGGCUGCAACGGUACUCUUUUGUACGUUUCAUAUUCGCCAGGGGCUACUUAUCGCCCCACAAUACGGCAACACAGUCCGAACACUCCUUAUAUAUAUAAGUUCUGCACCCCGAAUUUAGCAUUAUAUGCAUUGGCUCCGAAUCAUGUCUUUGGUCAAUAGUUGGGUUGCCCGGCUCCUAUGCUUGAUACCCUACGUUCCGCUCUAUCGGCUAGGGUAGUAAAGGGAGAACUACUGCGAUUGUGCCCUGGCCUUGACCGGAUGAGCACCUCAGUAGGCCGAAAACUGACUAUCAUGAUACGGCGAGAGCCGGUCAGCUAUUCGAGGGUUACAAACUCGUUGGAGAUUUUUUCCGCGUUAUGCGAAGGAUCGGCACUUCCCGAUCAGAUGCUGACAGCACCCUGGCUUGGACCAGGGGCUGCGCCCAUGCUUUAUUAUAAAACUCCUAUGGCUAAGUGAGGGCAUUUAAGACGUAUAGUCUGAUUGCCUUGUUCGUUGCGCUAAACAACUCCUUCAAGGACCAUAUAAUUGGAUCAAGAUUGUUUAGAUUCCAUCCCGAACACCUCCGUACUACCUACGCGAGGGCAGAAGCCGACGACUGGCCAACCCUCAGAUUGCCUACAACACGGCCGCAUAGGAGGAAACAAUUAAAGCAUAACGAAAUUACAUUACAAAACAGGCUUUGUUUUCAUAAUACAAGGCAAGGGCAACAUGAAUACAUUUAUUCAAAUACAAUGUCCUGCGAACAUUGAGCUGCUGCAAGUCGAAACCCUUCUAUGACAUCUGCAAAAUAUCACUCGGGUGUGCGGUGCUCCUUGCCCUCCGGCGGCCCGCUUGCAACUUCAACGGCGUUCAUCUUCGCCCACCACAUCUUGCAACGGGCGAAGGCCAUGCGAGCACCUUCAAUGCAGGCUGAUCGCUUGAUGGUGUCGAGCCGCAGACAAGCUUCCACUAGGCGCCUCACGAGUUCGAAGUAGCUGCCGGGCAUAGCUUCGGCUGGCCAUAGCCGGAUCAUCAAAUCCUUCAUGGCUAGUUCGGCCACCCUAUGCAGCUCCACCAGCUAUUUCAACUGAUCGGUGAAGGACACGGGAGGCUCUGACACCGCAUAUUGCGACCAUAAUAGCUUCUCCGUAGAACCCCCUCCUUCGGCUCGAUAGAACUCCACGGCGUUCGAUACACUGCGAGGUAAAUCAGCAAAAGCCCCUGGGGAGCUCCGAACCCGGGUUAGUAAAAGGUACUGCUUCUCCGCAUACUUGCUUUGCAUCUUAAAAGCCUUACCCGCUGUGAUCUUCUUGGCCUCCUGGAUCUCCUGGAGGGCAGCCUGGGUCUCAUUCUGUCUGGUCUCCGCACUCUGACGAGCCUUGGCGAGUUCGGCCCCUUGAGCCGAUGCAUCAUGCUCCAAGGCCUUGCAUUUUUUCACCGCAUCCUGGAGCUCUUGCUGGACUUCUUUGACCCGGGCCUUGAGCUUCUUACGGGCGGCUUGCUGCUGGACAACUUUCUCCUCGGCCUCGUCCAGGGCCUUCUUCAGGGCCUCGACCUCGGUCGCGGCUCCUGCACAUAUUACGCCACUACGGUCAGUAUACAACGUUUCUUCUUUCCGGACACAUAGCAAGUCGUCAUUCACCUUGCUUCUCCUGGAGCCGAAUUUUAACCUCGCCGAGCUCGUUCUCGGUCCGCUCCAGCCUCUGCUUCAGUUCAGAGAGUUCGGCAGCAUGCGAGGUUGCGGCCAACAGCGACGCCUGCUUAUUCAUACAUAUUACGUUAGUCUCCCAUAUCAAAUGAUUGAUCCUCUAUCCGGUUCUUCUUGCCGAACACCGGACAGUGUCUCAGGGGCUACUGUCUACACGGGGUUCUUCUCUUUCUUACCUCGAAACCUGUCAAUAGGUUGCUGCAAGCUUAUUUAGUCCACUCUUGGCGGACUGAACCUUCUCGAUCACUGCACCCAUAAGGACACGGUGCUCGUCCAUAACGGAGGCGCCUCGUAGCGCCUCCAUCAGGGUAUCCGGCUCCCCUGGAUAGACAGGGGCCACCGGUGGAAUCGGCGCACCCCCUCCUUCAAAGGGGGCUGCUCGCCCGACUCCGGAGCCGUAUGGGUCUCCGGAAUCGUAUUCGGCUGAGGGCCAAACUGGAUGUGGCCCUCUUCGCCAGUCUCCAUGGGGAUCGGCUCCCCCGUGUGUCCGGCAGUGGAGGUCUCACCUUGUGGCGCCUCCCGGACAGCGUCCUGGGCUCCUCCCUUCGGAGCGGUCCUCCGGGACAACACUUCGGUGUCGUCCCUGGCCCCGGGGGAAUAAGCAGGUGGUGGCGACAUGCUCGCCAUCUCCGACGGAGCCAACGAACCUCCAGAUGAGGAUCGCUGGAUAAGGUCGUGGGCCGGACUGCAAUGGUACAGUUAACUAUGUCCAAAUAAUGAAGAGAAAAGGCCGGAUGUGCGCAUGAGCGAGCCAUGUCACUUACGAUGCGACCUGGGCUUAGUGCGGGGGCGUCAUUCCGGACUGCUGUCAACGUCCCACGCGGUAUUGACCGCUGGGGCGCCCUUCCCCUUUUUGGGUGUUUCCGCCUCCAGAUGCGCCGAGGCCGCCCUCUUUUUCUUCUUAUCCUCGAAAGGAGGGUUGUUUUCCUCCUCCUCCUCUUCCUCGUCAUUGUCCUCAGGGACAGAGGGAUGGGCUUAGUCGUCUUCGGACACCACGUCCGAAGUGCCCUUGCAACAGGGACCACUCUUGGCCCCCUUGGCCUUCUUCUCCGGUGCCUUAUACGGCGCCGGCACCAGCAUCUUCGCUAGGCGCGGGAUGACCGGUUCUUCGGGCAACGGAGCCGGACACUGGAUCCACUUCGCCCUCUCCAUCUAGUCCUGGAAGAGCAAUAAUAAAAGCUCAGACAUCAUCCUCGAAACAAUUAAGUUGGGGAUACGUCAGAAGUAACAUACCUCGCUGGCGGGGUGUUUACAAUCGUGACCACGGUCUGAGUCCGUGGCCGGUGGCUUCUCGUUGCCCUUAAAGAGCAACUUCCAGGCACCUUCGUGAGUAGUCUCGAAGAGCCUUAUCAAGGUCUGGUGCUUCUUUGAAUUGAACUCCCACAGAGGGCGGCUUCGGCGCUGGCAUAGAAGAAUCCGGCGAACUAGCAUCACCUGGAUUACGUCAACAAGCUUGACAUUCUUGGUCACCAUGCUCUGAACGCGUGUCUGCAGCGCUAUCAGCUCAUCAGGUGAACACCAGUUCGGAUUCUUCUCGACCCAGGAGGUGAGUCGCAUGGGAGCACCGGAGCAGAAUUCGGCAGCUGCGGCCCAGGUGGUGCCGCGAGGUUCUGUGAUGUAUAACCACUGCUUCUGCCACUCCUUUACCGUCUCCACAAAAGUGCCUUUGGGCCAGGAGACGUUGGAUAGCUUGCUCACCAUGGCUCCCCCGCACUCUGUGUGCUGGCCAUCCACCACCUUCGGCUUCACGUUGAAGACUUUGAGCCACAACCCGAAGUGGGGUUGGAUGCGGAGGAAGGCCUCACACACGACGAUAAACGCCGAGAUGUUGAGGAAGGAAUUCAGGGACAGAUCAUGGAAAUCUAUCCCGUAAUAAUACAUCAGCUCGCGGACGAAAGGGUGGAGUGGAAACCCUAGACCGCGGAAGAAAUGGGGGAUGAAUACUACCCUCUCAGUGGGCUUCAGCGUGGGGACGACUUGUCCAUCGGCCAGCAGACGGUGGGCGAUCUCCUUCGCCAAAUACCCGGCCGCCCGAAGCUCAGUAAUGUCCUCCUCCCUGACGGAGGAGACCAUCCACUUGCCCUGACCUCCCGAUCCGGACAUGAUUGCUUGAGUGGAAAGGAGAUGAGUACUUGGGCGCUGGAGCUUGAGAUUGGAAAUAGAGAGAAGGCGUGAGAGAGGAAGAGGGAGUGCUUAUCCCCUUAUAAAGGCAGCGAAUAUUAAAAGCUUCCUCACUGGCCCUAAAAGCUCGCAUAUUCCCAAGGGCCGUAUAAACGGCACGGUUGGGUUACACAUGCCCGCAUUGAUGAGAAUCCCACGAUAAGGGGACACGAUCUCUGCUUUGACAAGACGUGCCAAUGGCAACCGCGUCUCAAAGCAUGGACCGGACAGACGUGAUGUCGUGCUAUUAAAAAAGCUGUCAGCGGAUAGAACUCGUGUGAAAAUAUAUAUUCUCUCUGCGGUUAUGUAUGGUGUGUAUGUGGCAGGUCCGGAUACUGUUAUCGCAUCCGAAGACUAUCUUGGAGUUCGGAAAGGGGAACGCGCCUUGCAAUGUCGAAGACAAUCUGCGCGCCGGACUCCUCGUCAUUGAAGCCAGGUUCAGGGGCUACUGAGGGAGUCCUGGACUAAGGGGUCCUCGGGCGUCCGGCUUGUUAUCCAUGGGCCGUACUGAUGGGCUGUGAAGACAUGAAGGCCGAAGACUGUACCCGUGUUCGGAUUGGACUCUACUUGGCGUGGAAGGCAAGCUUGGCGACCGAAGAUUCCUUCUUAUGUAACCGACUAUGUGUAAACCCUAGAUCCCCCCGGUGUCUAUAUAAACCAGAGGGGUUAGUCCGGAAAGGAUAGACAUUACCAUAGUCAUAUAGGCUAGACUUCUAGGGUUUAGCCAUUACGAUCUCGUGGUAGAUCAACUCUUGUAACACUCAUAUUCAUCAAGAUCAAUCAAGCAGGAAGUAGGGUAUUACCUCCAUAGAGAGGGCCCGAACCUAGGUAAACAUCGUGUCCCCCGUCUCCUGUUACCAUCGAUCCUAGACGCACAAUUCGGGACCCCCUACCCGAGAUCCGCUGGUUUUGACACCGACAACUACCGUGUCGGAUUUUUGCAUAGAUCUCAACUCAGAGGAAGUUGCCACGGAUGUAUUUUUAUAUGUCCGUGCCUUCCCAAAUCUGGACUAUCCCUGCCUUGCGGUAGUACCGCAAGGGGGAGCGGUAGUACCGCGCCAGCGGUUCUACCGCCCUCUGCUUCUUCACAUCAGGGCUGCUUUGGAUUCUGCUGCAUGGGCGGUAGUACCGUAGUUCCUUGCGGUAGUACCAUGUGCCCUAGCAGUACCGCGACUCUGGUGCAGUAGUACCGUGCUUCGUAGGCUGAGUUGGUGGAUAACGGUUGGAUUUGUUCUUCCACUAUAUAAGGGGUGUCUUCUUCUCCGAGUUGACUAUCUAUUCCAUCCCAAGCUCCAUUUCCGCCCGAUCUCUCUCCCUAGCCAAUCAAACUUGUUGAUUCUUUAGGGAUUGGUUGAGAAGGCCCUGAUCUACACUUCCACCAAGAGAAAUUUGAUUUCCCCCACUAAUCCUUUGCGGAUCUUGUUACUCAUGGGUGUUUGAGCACCCUAGACGGUUGAGGUCACCGCGGAGCCAUAUUCCAUUGUGGUGAAGCUUCGUGGUGUCCUUGGGAGCCUCCAAUUAAGUUGUGGAGAUUACCCCAACCUUGUUUGUAAAGGUCCGGUCGUCGCCUCCAAGGGCACCAAUAGUGGAAUCACGGCAUCUCGCAUUGUGUGAGGGCGUGAGGAGAAUACAGUGGCCCUAGUGGCUUCUUGGGGAGCAUUGUGCCUCCACACCGCUCCAACGGAGACGUACUUCCCCUCAAAAGGAAGGAACUUCAGUAACACAUCCUCGUCUUCACCGGCUCCACUCUUGUUUAUCUCGUGCCUUUACUUGUGCAAGCUUAUUUGUGUUAUAUCCCUUGCUUGCUUGUGUGCUUGUUUUUGUUGUUGCAUCAUAUAGGUUGCUCACCUAGUUGCAUAUCUAGACAACCUACUUUGAUGCAAAGUUUAAUUUGGUAAAGAAAAGCUAAAAAUUGUUAGUUGCCUUGCCUAUUCACCCCCCCUCUAGUCAACUAUAUCGAUCCUUUCACGAGGCAUUGAUAAUUUCAAUGAUGCUCACAUGAAAGACAAAAAUUGAAGCACAAAGAGAGCAUCAUGAAACACGUGAACACAUCUAAGUCUAACAUACUUCCUAUGCAUAGGCAUCUUAUAGGCAAACAAAUUAUCAUAGCAAGCAAAACUAGCAUAUGCAAGGAAGCGAAAAGAAACAAUAGCAAUCUCAACAUAACGAGAGGUAAUUUAGUAACAUGAAAAUUUCUAAAAUCAUAUUUUCCUCUCUCAUAAUAAUUACAUGUGGGAUCAUAAGCAAAUUCAACAAAAUAGCUAUCACAUAAAAUAUUUUCAACAUGAUCCACAUGCAUGCAAAGUUGACACUCUUCCAAAAUAGUGGGAUUAACAUUAACUAAAGUCAUGACCUCUCCAAACCCACUUUUAUCAAAAAUUUCAUAAGAUUGAACAUUCUCCAAAUAUGUGGGAUCUAAAGUUGACACUUUUCCAAACCCACUUUCAAUAAUAUUGCAAACACUAUUAUUAAUCUCAUCUCCAAAUAAUUAUGAAGUAGUAUUACACGAACAUAAAAUUACACAUAUGGUGUACUUCGAUUAAGAUAUGUCUUUUUAUGUAUCUGAAAAUUGUCUUACUACUACUAUUUAUAAUUUAUAAUUUGGGUAAGUAAUUACCAAUAUUGUUUUUAGCACUAAUAGUUUUAGAUCUUAUGAGUAUGCUUAUUGUGUAGUAUGUUCAGUUAGGUUUACGGUUUUCUCCUUGUUUCAUUUAUUACCGAUUGGUGUUUGGAGUUUUCAUUAGACUUAGGCUUUAUUGAUUAUGCUUUAGGAUUUAGUUUACUGGUGUAAUGAAUGUAGGAAUCUUACUUUACCAUUUAGGGCAUUCGGUUAGGGAUUAGAGUUUAGGGCUAUGGUUUAGGGUUUUCGUUGGAAUUAGGCUUUAUGGAUUAUGCUUUAGGAUUUAGUUUACUGAUGUAAUGAAUGUAGGGAUUGUACUUUAGGGUUUAGGGUAUACAUCGAUACUGGUUAGGAUUUAGGGCUUGGGUUAUAUGGCGUUGGUAAUUAGGAUUUAGGGGUAGAAUCUAUAGUUUAUCGAUUAGGUUAUUCACAUAGCCUUUAUUGUUCAUGAUUUAUGAUUGGUGUUUAUGACUUUGGUUUCAGUUGAUACAUUACUACUAUUUAAACCUUCCAAAUUAUUGCAUUUCAUGUUUACCACUUUCAAAUUGUAUGGUCUAGCAUUUCUUAAUCAUGUCAUUGACCUACUCUAUUGAGUCGGUAAAUAGUAUAAUUACCAACACAAAGUAAUAAUUAACUUGUCAGAAUUGUAUAAUCAGUGACUAAUAUAUGAGUAUUAAACUAAGUUGAUAUGUAAAUAUAGUAUACUUUCUAAACAUAUGCACAAUAUAGAUAACAUUAUAAUACUAUAGAAUUUUAUUCAAUAUAAGUUUGUCAACAUUUCAAAGGAUACAAUUAAAAUAAUUUAUAGAAAAUAUCAUUAAAUAGAUUUUGCAAAAAAAAAUCUCAUUUAGAAUUGUUGAUAGCUUCAUAAUAAAUUGAUAAGAGAAGUAGCACCUGAAGUUUAAGUCUUAAACCUUACAACUUGUCUCUAUAGUUAAGUUUCAAAAGCAUAACUUAUUUCAACAACGUUUACGCAAAUAUAUCUACUAGCGGUUGCUUUCAUCUAUGUCGUAAGAUUCCAGUUCAUAUAAUUUGAUAUUAGGAAGACUCGAUAUAUCAGACAGAAAAGUUGUUCGAGGAUUGUUAGGACCGAGAGUAUAUCUACCAGAGGGGGGUGAAUGGGAGAUUCAAAAUUUCUUUCAAAAGUUUUGAACUGAUCCCAAACACAGCAGCGGAAUUAAGGUUCGGUAGAUAUGAACUCAAACAAGCAGACUAUUGAGGAACAAAAUCUUCGAUGUAAGAUGCAAUAAUGGUUCGAGCAUAGUAUGCGAUAGGCUUGAUGAUAAUGAUGGUAACUCAACAUGCCAAGAGAUACAAUAACAAGAUAGAGAGCUCGAAAUGAACUGCGAUGGAUAACUAUGAGAAAUAGCUACAAUGAGGUAAAUGAUCACAAUACAGAUGAUGAUGAAAACUAAGAUAGCAUAACAGAAUGAAGAUGGUGCAACACUGUGGGCAUCGAACAAUAACUGAUGGAAAUGAUAGACAAAAUCAGAGCGAAUGAUAUGCAACAAAGUAUGAAUUAUCAAAUAAACUAAUCGUCACAGAGCACGAAUGGAAACUGCUAAAAGUAUUGCAGUGAAGUAAAUAGAACCAGUGGUGCUCGAUGGCGACAGAGAGAUUUGGUAGACCAGUUCACCCUUCUGCCAAAGGGCUACAUAUGGUUGGAGGGGUUGUGACUUAACACGGAAGAUAAACUCUCUUCACCCUGUUCUCCUUCAACUCAAAGCUGAUCAGACUCUAGUUGAUUUCACUCGUGGUAGAUACUGGUGUCUACUGCGCAACUUUAUUCUUGUAGACUCGUGUUGGUCCUCCAAGCGCAGAGUCCCUCAAGUGGAUGACUCAAGGUUUAUCAAUCCGUGGGAGGCGUAGGAUGAAGAUGGUCUCUCUCAAACAACCCUGCAACCAAAUACAAGAAAUCUCUUGUGUCCCCAACACACAUAAUACAAUGGCAAAUUGUAUACGUGCACUAGUUCGGCGAACAGAUGGUGAUAAAAGUGUAAUAUUGAUGGUAGAAAUAUAUUUUUAUAAUCUGAAUAAAUAAAAACAGCAAGGUAGCAAAUAGUAAACGGGCACAAAAACGGUAUUGCAAUGCUUUAAAAUGAGGCCUAGGUUCCGUACUUUCACUAGUGCAAUCUCUCAACAAUGCUAAUAUAAUUGGGUCAUAUAACCGUCCCUCAAUGUGCAACGAAGAAUCACUCCAAAGUUCCUAUCUAGCGGAGAACAUAGGAAGAAAUCAUUUGUAGGGUACGAAACCAGCUAGAAGCUAUGCUUUCCGAUCGAUCUAUCCAAGAGUUCAUACUAAAAUAACACCAAAUAAUUUCAGAUUCAUAAUACUCAAUCCAACACAAAGAACUUCAAAGAGUGCCCCAUGAUUUCUGCCGGAGAAACAAAAGACGAGAACGUGCAUCAACCCCUAUGCAUAGAUUACCCCAAUGUCACCGCGGGAAUCCGUGAGUUGAAUGCCGAAACACAUAUCAAGUGAAUCAAAAUAAUACCCCAUUUUCACCACGAGUAUUCAUUUGCAAGACAUGUAUCAAGUGCUCUCAAAUCCAUAAAAUUAUUCAAUCCGAUAAAACGAAAUCUCAAAGGAAAAACUCAAUUCAUCACAAGAUAGAGAGGGGAAAACACCUUAUGAUCCGACUAUAUUAACAAAGCCCGCGAUACAUCAAGAUGGUGACAUCUCAAGAACACGAGAGAGAGAGAGAGAGAGAGAGAGAGAGAGAGAGGGAGACUAAACACAUAGCUACUGGUACAAACCUUCAGCCCCGAGGGUGGACUACUCCCUCCUCAUCAUGAUGGCCGCCGGGAUGAUGAAGAUGGCCACCGGUGAUUAUUCCCCCCUCUGACAGGGUGCCGAAAAGGGUCUAGAUUGGUUUUCGGUGACUACAGAGGCCUGCGGCGGCGGAACUUCUGAUCUAGGGUAACCCCGCGAGGGUUUUUGGAAUAUUUGACAAUUUAUAAGGCGAAGAGGCGGUGCGGGAGGCCACUGAGGUGGGCACAACCCACCGGGGGCGUGCCUGGGGGCCCAGGCACGCCCUAGUGGGUUGUGCCCCCCUCGGGGCACCCCCCCAGGUGCUGCUCUGGCCCAUUGGAUGUCUUAUGGUCCAUAAAAAAUCCACAAAAAGUUUCGUGGUGUUUGGACUUCGUUUGAUAUUGAUUUCCUGCGAUGUAAAAAACAAGCAAAAAACAUCAACUGGCACUGGGCACUGGGUCAAUAGGUUAGUCCCAAAAAAUGAUACAAAGUUGCUAUAAAAUGAUUGUAAAACAUCCAAGAAUGAUAAUAUAACAUCAUGGAUACUUCAUAAAUUAUAGAUACGUUGGAGACGUAUCAGAUACUUGUCGGCGAUCUCCAAACCUUUGGUCGACCUUCGCAAACCACAAUCACUCUUGGUUGAUGAAGAUCUAGCUCGGUGAAGACAACAACUCUUCAACACUCGAGCCGAAACCUAUCCGUCUAGAGGGCGCGCAGCUCUCAAGAGUAAUAGGUACAAGAACUCUAACUUAGAACUACUGUGAUGCUAAACCACCGUCUAAGUUUGGGCUCUUGAUUUUUCUCUCGGUGGAUCUUCAACUCAAAUCACUCAGAGAGGGGUUGCUCAAAUCAAUCUUUUCAGAAAUCUCAAGCGGAACAGCCAACAGAAAAUGUUGGAGCGGGAUGGCUAUUUAUAGCCGCAGCCUUCCCUGAAGGGAAAUGACCAAAUUGGACAUGAGGUGCAGUCAAUGACUGAACGACACGAGUCCAACAGUCGGAAUUUGAGCACAACGGUAACAUUGCAUGUGGAGCAAGUAAUGCUAACUCCUCAGUCCGAAAAAUAUCUCCUGGAGCACGAAGAACAACGUCUACUACUGCCAGAUAAUCAUUCGGAGCAUAAAGAGAUUUCUCUCGCAUCUUUCAUAGGUUUUGGGCUAAGCAUCACAGCGGACCUAAGCUUCGAGAACCUAUACCCCUCUUAAUAGUAUGGAGGUCCUAUGACUCAAAUGAAUAAAAGAAGAACAACAAAAUGAAUACUACGUCUUCACUUUGUCUUCGACUUCCAUUCGCUACAGUCAAUUUUUUCGGACUUCAAUACCGAACCAAAUGCUUCGCUUCAGCAAUAAAAUGUCGAGGGGUUAAUUCCUUCACAUCAAUCUUCUCGUCUUCAUGAAUUCAAUAGAUAUAGCUCGUUCUUCUCUGCAACGCAGAUAUACUUCGGUGAAGUUCCUCGAACUUAGCACCGGAGACGACAUUCUCUUCAGUUCUGUAUGGACUAUUUCACUCUGUAUGCACUACCAAAUAAAUCAGUCCAUACCUGUUUCUGUCAACAAUCUCCAAAACACGGAUAGACAAAUAUUGCACCAACAAGGAUAACUAGUAAGCACGAGAAACAAAGGAACCAACACAAAUAUGAAACAUAAAUUCGCCAACUAUACGACAAAUUAAAAGCACAUACUUGAAGAAAUUGGAUCGCUACAAAUACUCCCUUCGCCCCGAAUUAGUUUACUCGGAUUUGUUUACUCCCUCCAUCCAUAUAUAGGGCCUAGUGCAUUUUUGAGAUUACCUUUUACUAUUGAUAAGAUUAAUAGUAUAUGAAAUAUAUAAUGUGAAAAUUAUAUCAUUGGAAGCUCCUUUCACGUACAAAUUUGACGGUAUGCUUUGUGUAACUUGCAUGUCAUAUUUUUGUUGCUCUAAUAUGUGGUCAAAGUUAGCUUCAAAAAAUAAUUAGACCCUAUAUAGAGGGAUAGAGGGAGUAGAUAUAUCGUUAGUAGAUAUAUUGUCAGAUACAUUCACAACUAGUCAAAUUUAAGACAAGUAAUUUGGGACGGAGGUAAUAAAUAAGAAAACGAACACUUUUGGUCGAUUUUGUACCUUUUUGCACUAAAUAUACUGCCCCGUGUGUUUAUAUCUUCGAAGGUCUUCGAUUUGUAAGAAUAGAUGAUGACCCCUUUCGUUCUCCAAGUGAAAUGAUGCCUGAAGGUGGAUGUUUUGUUUUCGAGUGACAUAAAGAUAAGAAUAAACAUGAACCAAAAAACAGAAAAACAAUGGCAUGAUGAAUCGUUUUUGCUCGUCCGUUCGGUAAGUAUAUAUAUGUUCCUUUCCAUUUCCACUGUUAAGGAGCCCUACGCAACAAAUUUCCGACCCCAUACCAACAUCUUUAUCGGCAUGAUAUACAAAUGGAUUACAGCCAAAAAGGAGAAUCUAACUCUGUCUCUAUACAUGACCCAAUGUCAUCAAUCUUGGCGUAGAUCGACAACACAUAAUUCACAUUUGUCCGGACAUGCGUGCCACAGAUCCCCUUCCCUAUAGGCAAAGGGAAAGAGAUCAUACGGCCAUCAACAGAUAUACAGAGUCUGUCCGGACUCCCUCCGCCCUGCAACUCCAUUCCCGGAGCGGGCAGACGACGCCUAACACAUCAACUCUAUGGAGUGGCCAGCACGGAGCGGAGCGGCAUUCAGUUAUAAUUUGGCAAAAAUGCUACACAUACAGGCACAUUGUACAUGUUUUUACCAAAUUAUCGACUGCGCACUUUUCUAANNNNNNNNNNNNNNNNNNNNNNNNNNNNNNNNNNNNNNNNNNNNNNNNNNNNNNNNNNNNNNNNNNNNNNNNNNNNNNNNNNNNNNNNNNNNNNNNNNNNNNNNNNNNNNNNNNNNNNNNNNNNNNNNNNNNNNNNNNNNNNNNNNNNNNNNNNNNNNNNNNNNNNNNNNNNNNNNNNNNNNNNNNNNNNNNNNNNNNNNNNNNNNNNNNNNNNNNNNNNNNNNNNNNNNNNNNNNNNNNNNNNNNNUCUUAAUCAAUCCACGGCCAAUCAAUGUUAAGCAACCUUUAAAACCCCGUAUAACUCCGUACGUCGAGCAAAGUCGAUAAUUUGGGGAGCGGCUAAAACGGCACUCGGAUAAUUACCCACAUUUACCACAAUUUACCGGUUCGCUGCUGUCACCAGUCGCAAAACGGAGCCAAGCUCGUUCCGUUGUUCUGAGGACAUGAGAAGUUGGGAGUUGACAACCGAAUGUAUUUCUUUCUAGAUUCUGAAAUGGGUGAACAGUUGUCUAUCAGCAUAUGCACAUCGCCACGAGGAUGUUGCGUACGUGCUGCACUAUUGGCACGUAGGCUUCCAUUUAUGUAUGCGCAUCCUGAUUUCUUAAUUCUAAUUUCCACACGUUUUCCUGUAAUAAUGCUUUUCCAAGAGAUUUCUCAGAUUCUCUCUGGUGCUAUUGCUUAUCAGGGUUGCCCAUACUACGCCUGAUGCGACCGGUCAGAACCCGUAUCUACGCACGAGCGAGCAGUCGUGAUCCGAUCCCCUCUUCUUCUAUCCUUUUUGGCAGCACCCGAUCCCGUCGUUUCCUCGGCGAAAACGACAGCCCGCCGCACUCGGCAUGUGCGCGGCACUCCACGGCGACAGUGGCGUAGCGCGCGCGCGCACACCGGGGGUCCGUCGAUCCGAUAAUCGCAACCUCGAUGGGUAGCCCGUGCCGACAAUGACGCGAGCCAGUGCGUGUACGUACGUCUCGACGGAGGCGGGGGUUCGCCAGUUCGACGAUGUCUAUCUAGCUGUGGCCGGCUGGCUGGCUCGUGUCAGCGCUUGCGCGCGUGAGGCGGAUGUGAAUCGGUGUGAACGAAGCGCGACCGCCGCCACCCUCGAUCGUGCGCUGCUCGAUCUGCUCUUGGUCGGACUCCGGUCAAAAUGGCCCUGAUGAACCUUGAAGGGUUCUGCACACGUGCUGGAAUGGAAUACAUUGUGCACGUACGGGAUCGGGGUCGGGAUCGAUGCGGAAGCGAGAGGAUCGAGUAAUUAAUCUGGCACGUAUNNNNNNNNNNNNNNNNNNNNNNNNNNNNNNNNNNNNNNNNNNNNNNNNNNNNNNNNNNNNNNNNNNNNNNNNNNNNNNNNNNNNNNNNNNNNNNNNNNNNNNNNNNNNNNNNNNNNNNNNNNNNNNNNNNNNNNNNNNNNNNNNNNNNNNNNNNNNNNNNNNNNNNNNNNNNNNNNNNNNNNNNNNNNNNNNNNNNNNNNNNNNNNNNNNNNNNNNNNNNNNNNNNNNNNNNNNNNNNNNNNNNNNNNNNNNNNNNNNNNNNNNNNNNUUUUUGCGGGCAUGUUUUGGUUCCUUCCUACUCCUACUACUUCUCCUUCGCCGCAGAUGCGCACUGUCAAUGCAGGGGAGACCGCGUCAGGCGGGAAAUAGUUUUUAAGAGGAGAUGUACAGUACGUGGGUGGAGAGACCGAGCUCUGGCCUCUGGCGUCGUCGGUGCACACGUGCGCGCCCUUGUUGGUGUUGGUGUUGUUUGGUGAUCGCUUCAUCAGCGCAACGCGUGACUCCGUCGUUAACGCGAUAGUUUAGCCUCUCUUUUUUUAGGUAUAAAGGGAUAGUUUAGCCAUUCAACAAAAUCUGCGGACGGCACACGGAGAGGUGGAGACAAAUAACGUCAAUCAGUGCCGUCACUGGGUCCUAAAGAAAAAUGGGCCGAAUUAGGGGCACAUACCUAGUGGGCUGCCACCAGGCCAAAUUCCCGUUUCUCUUUGCUGGCCGGUCGGCCUAUAUGGGCCUCGGCCCAUCCAGAGGAUAGAAGGAAAAGAAACGGAGAGGAAGGGAAACUGAAAAAAAACAUAGAUGACUUAUAAAAUAUUCCGAAAAAUAGAAAUGAUUGCGAAUAUAAAAAAAUUCAUGGAUUUCAAAAAAGUUCGUGAAUUUAAAGAAUGCUCAUGAAUUUAAGAAAUGCUCCUGGAUUAUAAAAGAAUGUUCAUGAAUUUUAAAACAUGUUCACAAAUUUGUAAAAAUGACAAUGAAUUUUAAAAGUGUUUGGGAUACAUCACGGGUGCCUCAACUUGUCCGGUGCGGUCACUUUGGUGCCUAAACUUGUAAAAUACACGAAACUGGUACCGUAACUUGUCCGAGCGUUCAAAUACGGUGCCUCCGUCCGUAUCCGGACAUAUGCCCUGCCCACGUGACGUGCCCACCUGUCAAUGGGUGUGAGAGGAGUGUGCUGGUUGUUUUAUAGAAAACUCCUUGUACUUUAUAUAAUUUUCACACAAGCUCCUAACAAUUUAUUUAAAUAGGUCAAACUACAUUGAUUCCACCUUUCACAACUAGGUCUCGCAUGUCAGCACAUGGGAUAAAAUUGUAAUAACAAAAAAAGAGCACCCGACAGGAUUCCAACUCAGUACGAGGGCGCACAGCCUAUCACUACGCCUAGAAUAGUUGACUGCGCAAUAUCCUAAUACUCUCAUAUUUAUCAAUAAACCGGGUGAAAUAAUAAAGAGAUAUAAAAAAGAAAAAUUCGAUUCGUGGGAAAUUGAAAAAAAUAUUAAGAAAUUCUCACAUUUGACAAAAAAGAACUAUUCAACAUAUUACAUGCCAUCAACUUAAGAAAGUUUUAGGGCUUUAAAAAUCACAUUUUUGAAAAAUCCUCACGCGUAUUAAAAAUUUUAAAUGUUUUUUUAAAUGCCUGUCAUGUAUUCAAAAAAAUUACAACACCUAUUUCAUAAAAUGUUCAAUAUGUCUUAAAAAAAUUAUGGUAAAAUUAUUCUUACAUCUCUACAAGCAUGUUUAACAUGUGUUAACACAUUUAUAGAAUUUAUUUUUUCUACACAAUUAUUUUUAAUACAUGUUGAACAAUUUUCAAAAUACAACAAUGUUGAUUUUUAAUAAUUAUGUAUUCUAAAAAUACAACAAAGAUACAAAAUAAUUCCGCAUGCUUGUGGUCCUGAGUGAAGAUGCAAAAAAAUUUGUAAUAUUUUAUUAUAUAUAUGUUGAACUGUUUAAAUCAACAUCAAUUUUAGAAAAAGUUCAUGGUUAAAUCAACAUCAAUUUUCCUAUUAUUGGCAUAUAGCAAGGGCUUAUUUGUGACAUUAAUUAAAUCUUAGGGAUUUUUGCACACAAAAAAACUCGUACGCAUUUCACCCAGCGCAGGCAUCGCUCACACCCACUGACAUGUGGGUCAGCCACCAGCUGUCAGUCCACGUGGACAGCACAUACGGUGGCAUACAGGCGGAGGCACCGUAUAUGCACCGUGCGACAAGUUAUAGCAUCAUUUUUUUGUAUUUUACAAGUUUAGGCACUAAACUGACCGCAACAGACAAGUUAAGGCACCUGUGAUGUAUUUCACGAACUAAAAGUUAAAAAAUGUAAAUGAAAAAAAAAUAGAAAAAUGAAUAAUAGGAAUGAAACCUGGUAAAACACUAGGGAAAAUAAAAAUUGGUUGGAAGCUUACCAAAAUCAUGGAAGAAAAAAAUUGUUAUAGGUCAGCCCAGUAGCACCCUUGAGUGAGGUUGCUCGACUCGCAACACUCGUAACACGUGGUAUAGGAGUCCAUCAAGUCCAUUGUGUAUUCAUUUUUUUUCACAUGUUGGGUCGUCAAAGUGGUAGCAGAGUCUCGUUUAAGCACCCUCAGAGUUUCCGCUUAAUUUUUCCCCAUUUGCCAAAUGCUUUUUUUCUCUAUAUACCCCGCUUACAGAAGUUGAGUUAGGGUUUGACACUCUUCAUCCUAGCAAUCCAAUCCAAUAUAUUAGCUUAGAAUUUAAAGUUAAUCGCCGGAAAUUACUAAAUACUGACACUUACUUAGUGUGCUACUACUAGUAUGCAUGGUGGGAGAGACAACAUCACCAACGGAAUGAGUCCGUCCAAGCACAUGCAAGAUUUGCUUUAUCCAUUCAAAUAUUGGCUCUAAAUUUGUCACCAUCCUGAAAUACCAUAGCAAAUCCGACAAAAUAAGCUGCUCGGUUAUAAUCACAUGUUGGUGUAGUUAAACUAAACGUGGAUGCAUCUUUCUUGCAUGAUGACUGCAAAAGAUCAUGUCGUGUUGCAAUAAGAGAUUUUGCUGGUGGUUUUGUUAAGACAAAGACUUUCUAUAUGGAUUCCGGCUCGAUGACGUCCGCGUUCAGCACACAUUCAGCUUUGCGUUCAACACACGUUUAGCUCGAUGACGUCCUCGCCUUCUUGAUCCAGCAAGAGAGUCGAAGUAGUAGAUGAGUUUUGGCAGCACGACGGUGUGGUGACGGUGAUGGUGAAACUAUCCGCAGGGCUUCGCCAAGCACAAUGGAUGUGGACGGAGGAGGAAUUAGAACUAGAGGGAGACGGGGCGCCGCACACGGCUUGGGGAUCGUGGUGUGUGUUGCCCCUCUCCCUCCUCACAUAUAUAUAGGUGGAGGGGGAGGCUACCUAGGAGCGCCCCCAAGGGGGCCGGCGGCCGCCCUGGGCGCCUACCCUAGGUGCCCCUUGAAAGAAAUAUGCCCUAUAGGCAAUAAUAAAGUUGUUAUUUAUAUUUCCUUAUAUCAUGAUAAAUGUUUAUUAUUCAUGCUAGAAUUGUAUUAACCGGAAACUUAGUACAUGUGUGAAUACAUAGACAAACAGAGUGUCACUAGUAUGCCUCUACUUGACUAGCUCGUUGAAUCAAAGAUGGUUAAGUUUCCUAGCCAUAGACAUGAGUUGUCAUUUGCUUAACGGGAUCACAUCAUUAGAGAAUGAUGUGAUUGACUUGACCCAUUCCGUUAGCUUAGCACUUGAUCGUUUAGUAUAUUGUUAUUGCUUUCUUCAUGACUUAUACAUGUUCCUAUGACUAUGAGAUUAUGCAACUCCUGAAUACCGGAGGAACACUUUAUGUGCUACCAAACGUCACAACGUAACUGGGUGAUUAUAAAGGUGCUCUACAUGUGUCUCCGAUGGUGUUUGUUGAGUUGGCAUAGAUCGAGAUUAGGAUUUGUCACUCCGAUUGUCGGAGAGGUAUCUCUGGGCCCUCUCGGUAAUGCACAUCACUAUAAGCCUUGCAAGCAUUGUGACCAAUGAGUUAGUUGCGGUAUGAUGCAUUACGGAACGAGUAAAGAGACUUGCGAUAACGAGAUUGAACUAGGUAUGAGGAUACCGACGAUCGAAUCUCAGGCAAGUAACAUACCGAUGACAAAGGGAACAACGUAUGUUGUUAUGCGGUUUGAUCGAUAAAGAUCUUUGUAGAAUAUGUAGGAGCCAAUAUGAGCAUCCAGGUUCCGCUAUUCUUUAUUGACCAGAGAGGUGUCUCGGUCAUGUCUACAUAGUUCUCGAACCCGUAGGGUCCGCACGCUUAACGUUCGAUGACGAUUUGUAUUAUGAGUUAUGUGAUUUGAUGACCGAAGUUUGUUCGGAGUCCCGGAUGAUAUCAGUGACAUGACGAGGAGUCUCGAAAUGGUCGAGAGGUAAAGAGCGAUAUAUUGGAAGGCUAUAUUCGGAUAUCGGAAAGGUUCCGAGUGAUUCGAGUAUUUUUCGGAGUACCGGAAAGUUACGGGAAUUCGCCGAGAGAAGUAUUGGGCCUUAUUGGGCCAUGCGGGAAUAGAGGAGGCAGGCCAAAGGGAAGAAGGCGCCCCCCCAUGGGUUCGAAUUGGACUAGGGGAAAGGGGGCGGCGUCCCCCCUUUCCCUUUCCUACUCCAUCUCUCUUUCCCUCUUUCUUCUCUCCUACUCCGGAAAGGAAAAAGGGGAUCCUACUAGGACUUGGGAGUCCUAGUCGGACUCCCCACACUUGGCGCACCCCCUCUAGGGCCGGCCUCCUCCUCCUCCCUCCUUUAUAUACGUGGGCAGGGGGCACCCCAAAGGCACAACAGACAAGCUCUUAGCCGUGUGCGGUGCCCCCUCCACAGUUACACACCUCGGUCAUAUCGUCGUAGUGCUGAGGCGAAGCCCUGCGCCGGUAACUUCAUCAUCAUCGUCGCCACGCCGUCGUGCUGACGGAACUCUCCCUUGGCCUCAACUGGAUCAAGAGUACGAGGGACGUCACCGAGCUGAACGUGUGCUGAACGCGGAGGUGUCGUACGUUCGGUGCUUGGAUCGGUUGGAUCGCGAAGACGUUCGACUACAUCAACCGCGUUACUAAACGCUUCCGCUUUCGGUCCACGAGGGUACAUGGACAACACUCUCCCCUCUCGCUGCUAUGCAUCACCAUGAUCUUGCGUGUGCGUAGGAAUUUUUUUGAAAUUACUGCGUUCCCUAACACCCCCCCCCCCUCCUUUCCUUCCUAGGGGGCUGGAGGAGAUGGCGGGAGGGGGGCCGGGCGGCUCCCUGCCAUAGGCGCCCCAACGCCCCAUUUCCUUUCCUAGAGGGCCGGCGGCUAGGAGGUGGGCGCGCCAGCCCCUUGUGGCUUGUGUGCUCCUUCCCUUGGCCCGUUUGGCCCAAUAAAUCCUUGUAGGUGUCCUGGAACCCCUUCCGGUGAUCCGAUAAAUACCCAGUGCAUUCUGAAACCUUUUCGGAGACCAAAUACUAUCAUCCUAUAUAUCAAUCUUUACCUCUGGACCAUUCUAGAGCUCCUCGUCAUGUCCGUGAUCUCAUCCGAGACUCCGAACAACAUUCGGUCACCAAUUCACAUAACUCGUAUAAUACUAUAUCGUCAACGAACGUUAAGCGUGCGGACCCUACGGGUUCGAGAAUGAUGUGUACAUGGCCGAGACGCUUCUCCGGUCAAUAACCAAAUAGCGGGAACUGGGUGCCCAUAUUGGUUCUUACAUAUUCUACGAAGAUCUUUAUCCGUCAAACCUUUAUAACAACAUACGUAAUUCCCUUUGUCUGUCAGUAUGUUACUUGCCCGAGAUUCGAUCGUCGGUAUCUCCAUACUGAUGAGGACAUGACUACCUUGGAUACGACCUAUUGCAUACAUGUAUAUUUGUGAGGUGAUUUAUAAGGCAAACUAUGCAAUAAUUUAUUUAUGUCAUCCUGGACAAAAAUACUUCACAAACUUUUGUCUCAUGUCUAAUUGCAGGUGUAUGGGACAUUUGUACAAUCCACAUAUGAAGAUAAAGGAAAAAGAGAAGUUUAUGUGCUCUUCAAAAAGUCCUCUCACGUCACUUUUGGGCCAAGAGAAGAUAGAUUCCAAGUCUCUCACGUUCUGGAUUUAGAUUCGGACUUCACAGACAUACCUGACUCAAAACGCCAAGAACUUUUUCAUACGGACUCUGAAUUGGGUGAUUCUUUUUUUGUUGGAAUGUAGAUUUCGUACACUUUCCAACCCAGUUGGAUUCACCUUCAAAUUCACCCGGAGCGUUGAGAUAUCAACGAAACAAUCUGUCAAUGCAGGAGAAUCCGAGUCAAACUAUAAGUCCAAAGGUGUUGCAUCACCUCCACUUGGGCCCAUGAGCCUUGUACGACCUAGUGUUAGUUUUAGGCUACCUUGGGACGUCCUACCACAUCCUUGGCCGCCACCCCUUACACCUAUGUAAGUAAAUCCAUCUAGUAGUUUUUUCCUUGGAAUUUGGUUAGUUAAAAGUUCGCCAUUGCAAUUUCGUGUACUUCGUUUGUGUCCAACGACCAGACCAAGACCGCUUUCGGAUCCCCACCUUUAUCAAUACUUCAUCUGUAUUUGCAAUAUUAAGAUUGCAUUAUCAUAUUCUUGUUUGUUCUUCGAUUGCGUGCAGGAAUAGACCUUCGUGGUCAGGCUGAUCGUGUUUCCAGCAUCGUUUGUAACCUCGGGAGAUUGGUUUAGCGAUUGAUAAGGCGCAACGUCGUGCACGUUUGUAGUCGGAUCGUCAAAGUCGACUCCACCAAAUUGAUAGUUAUCAUCUCAUCGAAAGAUCGAGACACCCCACCUCUAUCAAGUGGUAUCAGUUUUCAGGUUGCUCGGUGAGAAUUUUCAGCUUUACCUAGAUUAGAUUUAUCUUCUUACCUACUGUCCAAGAAAAAGCCACAAAAAAAGUUAGAUCUAUUCAUCCUUUAUCCAAACCAGUCCGAGCCUUUGCAAUUUUCUUUUCAUUGUUUGCAUUAUUGAAUUAUCGGUUGCAUCGUCAUGUCGAGUUGCAGAAGCUAGUUCAAUAUUUGACACCUCAAAAUCGGCUUCUAAAUAGGUCUUUUUGCCCUCCGAAGUUCACAAACACAGCUUAUUCCAGUUUUUCAGGCCAGCUUUAGAAUUUUUUGACUCCUCAUAUCAACUCGGAAUUGAGUGAUUCUUUUUGCGUUUGAAAGCUUGAGUCAGUGCCAUUCUUGAGAAAAAUUAUUAGAAAAUUGGCACAAACUUUUCCAGAGAAAAGUUGAAGAGAAAGUUGUUGAUAUAUCCUGCUUGGCUAUUGUUUCACAUCAUUAUCUUUACUACUAUUGUGAUCUUCACUUAUAUCUUGCUCUCCAGAGCUACUUCAUAUCCUUUAUUGAUGCUAGUUGUGCUACGUCGUGACCUUAUUAGUGUUCUAGGCUCGCGUCUCUAGUCCGGUCAAGCCUAGGACCAGCACAAUACCAUCGUUGAGCGUUUAUUCAACAUUGCAUCUCUGAAUUGAUUCUUGCUAAUCUUUUGCUACCAUACAUAGCCAACCCAGCUCCACAUGUUUCUACACCGUGUAUACGUACGUUCCCCUGACAGUCACUUUACUCAAUCUUCGGAGUUAGUUGACACCGCUGGUUGCCUGUCACCACCUGCUGCAUGGUAAGAACUUGUAAGGUAUUGAUAUUUGUUAUACUGUGAGCGUUUUACCACCACAUCCAAGUAGUUCAUAGGAACAUUAUUCUCAGAUUUUGUUUCUUGUUUUCUACUAACUAUGAUAGGUUACGGAGUUGUUAGUUCUUGGGCUUCAUCGAUCGUGGGCAAUUUGCCAUCACCUAAGAAAAUACAACAGCCGUCACAAGGGGAGCAACAACAUCAGAAUGCACAUAAUCAGGUUAAUGUUUCCAUGCCACCAUUUACUGGUCGUUUUAGGCCUGAUUUAUAUAUUGAAUGGGAGUACGAAAUAAAUGCUAUAUUUGCUUCCCAUACUUUUGGUGAGCGUGGAAAAUUUCAAGCUGCGGUUAGUACUUUCGGUAGCUUUGCUUUAGUUUGGUGGAGUGAAUAUUGUUGGUUAAACCCUGAUUUUAUACCAUACUACUUAGGAUGAUUUAAAACUUGUCAUGAGAGACAGAUUAGUUGAUGUUUAUUAUACUCGUGGCAUGAUUAAGAAAUUACAACAUUUAAAACAAGGUAGUGACACCGUAACAAAAUACUAUGAUGAUUUACAAACUACCUUGUUGCAUUCUUUUUAGAAGAAAGUGAAGAAGAUUUAAUGGAUAGAUUUUGGGGAGGAUUAAACCGUGAUAUUCAGGAGAUACUAAUCCAUGAAGAGUGUUAUUCUAUGGACCGUUUGUUUCGUCUUGCUUGCAAAGCUGAACAGAAAAUAAAACGACGUGUUGCCCAUAAGGAGAACAAACGCACGGUGCACAUUCCAGGAGUUGAUUCGGUUGUUCCUUCAACUACUAGGCAUACUAUGCCAACCACAUCCAUUGUUGUGAGGACCACAUCACCUCCACCAUGUGACACAUCACCACCGAGAGUGCCUACAUCAUCUGAGUUGGUCAUAAAAGGUAAUGACAAAGGUACUGAACUUUCACCUCCACAUGAGUACGAUGAAUGCCUUGUCAAUUUCAAUGCACCAUGUGAUGACCUACCCACUACUUUGAUCACACCACCUAUUUUAGAGGACUAUAUUGAUGAUUUGACUUUGCCAUGUGAUCAAACAAAUGCAAUAUCAACAUUGUCGAGUGCACCCAUUGAAAUAACUGAGAAAGAGUCAUGUGAAUCAGGGAAUCAAUCACAUUUGGAUCAAAUACGUUUGAAAAUAGUUGUGCCAAUGUUUAAUCAUUUUGAUAUGACCUCUAAUCUUGGUGAUGAUUCUGUGUCAAAUGACUUAUUGCAUGUUUGCUUAUUUAAGCAUGUUGUAGUAUGUAAAUUUGAUGCUAGUAAGGUUUAUUCACAAAUGUUGGGAUGGUUUAAUGAUGAACAUUGUCAAUCCUUUGAUAUGAAUAAGAGCUUCACUUGUAUGUGCAAAUUGAGUUGCGAUAUUUUCAUGCCUUCUACUAAUUGUGAUGAUAUUUUGGCUUUACAUUUAUGAACUAUGAAAGUUACUCAUGUAUACAUAUGUCAUAUGUGCAAAAAUCAAGGAAAGUGAAAAUGGAUGACAUAUACAUAUACAACAUGUACACCUUGUCUCUUUUGUUAGCCACAUUUUAGAUUAAGCAACGCCGAGGAUGGCUUUGUUUUCAAAAAUGUGAGGAUGAUGAGGACAUGACUACCUUGGAUACGACCAAAAAUAUUGCAUACAUGUAUAUUUGUGAGGUGAUUUCUAAUGCAAACUAUGCAAUAAUUUAUUUAUGUCAUCCUGGACAAAAAUACCUCAUAAACUUUUGUCUCGUGUCUAAUUGCAGGUGUAUGGGACAUUUGUACAAUCCACAUAUGAAGAUAAAGGAAAAAAGAGAAGUUUAUGUGCUCUUCAAAAAGUCUUCUCACGUUACUUUUAGGCCAAGAGAAGAUAGAUUCCAAGUCUCUCACGUUCUGGAUUCAGAUUCGGACUGCACAGACAUACCUGACUCAAAACGCCAAAAAAAAAUUCAUACGGACUCCGAAUUGGGUGAUUCUUUUUUUGUUGGAAAGUUGAUUUCGUGCUCUUUCCAACCUAGUUGGAUUCACCUUCAAAUUCACCCGGAGCGUUGAGAUAUCAACAAAACAAUCUGACACUGUAGCAAAAUCCGAGUCAAACUACAAGUCCAAAGGUGUUGCAUCACCUCCACUUGGGCCCAUGAGCCUUGUACGACCUAGUGUUAGUUUUAGGCUACCUUGGGACGUCCUCCCACCUCCUUGGCCGCCACCCCUUACUCCUAUAUAAGUAAAUCCAUCUAAUGGCUUUUUCCUUGGGAUUUAUUUAGUUAAAAGUUCGCCAUUGCAACUUCGUGUACUUCGUUUGUGUCCAACGACCAGACCAAGACCGCUUUCGGAUCCCCACCUUUAUCAAUACUUCAUCUAUAUUCGGAAUAUUAAGAUUGCAUUAUCAUAUUCUUGCUUGUUCUUUGAUUGCGUGUAGGAAUAGACCAUCGUGGUCUGGCUGAUCGUGUUUCCAGCAUCGUCAGUAACCUUGGGAGAUUGGUUUAGCGAUUGAUAAGGCGCAACAUCGUGCAUGUUUGUAGUCGGAUUCUCAAAGUCGACUCCACCAAAUCGACAGUUAUAAUCUCAUCGAAAGAUCGGGACACCCCGCCUCUAUCACAUACCUAGUUCAAUCUCGUCACCGGCAAGUCUCUUUACUCGUUUCGUAAUACAUCAUCUUGUAACUAACUCCUUAGUCACUUUGCUUGCAAGCUUCUUGUGAUGUGUAUUACCGAGAGGGCCCAGAGAUACCUCUCCGUCAUACGGAGUGACAAUUCUCAAUCUCGAUUCAUGCCAACUCAACAGACUCCUUCGGAGAUACUUGUAGAGCAUCUUUAUGAUCACUCAGUUAUGCUGUGACAUUUGAUAGCACAAAAGGUAUUCUUCCAGAAUCCGGGAGUUGCAUGAUCUCAUGUUUAAGGAAUAUGUAUUUGACAUUAAGAAAGCAGUAGCAAUAAAUUGAACGAUCAUAUGAUAUGCUAACAGAUGGGUCUUAUCCAUCACAUCAUUCUCCUAAUGAUGUGAUCUCGUUAUCAUGUGGCAACACAUGUCUAUGGUUAGGAAACCUUAACCAUCUUUUGAUCAACGAGCUCGUCUAGUAGAGGCUGACUAGGGACACGGUAUUUGUUUAUGUAUCCACACAUGUAUUUAAGUUUCCGGUCAAUACAAUUCUAGCAUGAAUAAUAAACCUUUAUCAUGAUUAAGGAAAUAUAAUAAUAAUCACUUUAUUGUUGCCUCUAGGGCAUAUUUCCAACAGGAUAUACAUAACAUCGAUGUCCAUUCAGAUUGUCUGAACCUCUUCAAAUGCAUAAGGAGUGGCAUGUAAUCUUUUGCGAUAGCAGCCCCAUCAAUGAUAACUAUUUCGAUUUAGUCAAGGAAUUCACGAGCAUCACCCUUGAGCAUUGUGUGUGAACAUCUAAUCGUGUGGCUCAAAAGUUAACUACCUUGACUAGGGGUCAUCCUUUGACUGUGUGGACGGAAUGUUGGGGAACGUAGUAUUUUAAAAAAAAUCCUACGAUCACGCAAGAUCUAUCUAGGAGAAGCAUAGCAAUGCGCGGGGAGAGUGUGUCCACGUACCCUCGUAGACCGAAAGCGGAAGCGUUUAUCAACGCGGUUGAUGUAGUCGUACGUCUUCACGAUCCGACCGAUCCUAGCACCGAACAUACGGCACCUCCGUGUUCAGCACAUGUUUAGCUCGAUGAGGUCCCUCGUACUCCUGAUCCAGUUGAGGCCGAGGGAGAGUUCCGUCAGCACGAUGGCGUGGCGAUGGUGGUGAUGAAGUUACCGGCGCAGGGCUUCGCCUAAGCACUACGACGAUAUGACCGAGGUGUGUUUCUGUGGAGGGGAGCACUGCACACGGCUAAAAGAUCAACUUGUGUGUUCUAGGGUGCCCCCCUCCCCGCGUAUAUAAAGGAGGGAGGGAGGAGGAGGCCGGCCAAGGGUGGCGCACCCAAGGGGGGAGUCCUACUCCAAGUAGGAUUCGCCCCCCCCCUUUCCUAUUCCCUCAAGGAGAAGGGAAAAGGAGGAGGAGAGAAGGAAGGGGGGGGCGCCCCAAACCCCAGUCCAAUUCGGUUUGGCUAGGGGGCACGUGCCACUCCUUGGCCUGCCUCCUCUCUUCCACCACUAGGACCAUGAGGCCCAAUAACUUCCCGGGGGGUUCCGGUAACCCUCGGUACUCCGAAACUUAUCUGAAACAACCCGAACCAUUCCGAUGUCCGAAUAUAACCUUCCAAUGUAUGAAUCUUUAUGUCUCAACCAUAUCGAGACUCCUCGUCACGUCCGUGAUCUCAUCCGGGACUCCGAAAAAACUUUGGUACAUCAAAUCACAUAACUCAUAAUCCAAAUCGUCAUCGAACGUUAAGCGUGCGGACCUGCGGGUUCGAGAACUAUGUAGACAUGACCGAGACACAUCUCCGGUCAAUAAACAAUAGCAGAACCUGGAUGCCCAUACUGGCUCCUACAUAUUCUACUAAGAUCUUUAUCGGUUAAACCGCAUAACAACAUACGUUGUUCCCUUUGUCAUCGAUAUGUUACUUGCCCGAGAUUCGAUCGUCGGUAUCACCAUACCUAGUUCAAUCUCGUUACCGGCAAGUCUCUUUACUCAUUCCAUAAUGCAUCAUCCUGCAACUAACUCAUUAGUCACAUUGCUUGCAAGGCUUAUAGUGAUGUGCAUUACCGAGAGGUCCCAGAGAUACCUCUCCGACAAUCGGAGUGACAAAUCCUAAUCUCGAUCUAUGCCAACUCAACAAACACCACUGGAGACACCUGUAGAGCAUCUUUAUAAUCACCCAGUUACGUUGUGAUGUUUGAUAUCACACUAAGUGUUCCUCCAGUAUUCGAGAGUUGCAUAAUCUCAUAGUCAUAGGAACAUGUAUAAGUCAUGAAGAAAGCAAUAGCAAUAAACUAAACGGUUAUAGUGCUAAGCUAACGGAUGGGUCUUCUCCAUCACAUCAUUCUCUAAUGAUGUGAUCCCAUUCAUCAAAUGACAACACAUGUCUAUGGCUAGGAAACUUAACCAUAUUUGAUUAAUGAGUUAGUCUAGUAGAGGCAUACUAGGGACACUCUGUUUGUCUAUGUAUUCACACAUGUACUAAGUUUCUGGUUAAUACAAUUCUAGCAUGAAUAAUAAAAAAUUAUCACGAUAUAAGGAAAUAUAAAUAACAACUUUAUUAUUGCCUCUAGGGCAUAUUUCCUUCAGUAUGCCACUUGCACUAGAGUCAAUAAUCUAGAUUACAUAGUAAUGAUUCUAACACCCAUGGAGUCUUGGUGCUGACCAUGUUUUGCUCGUGAGAGAGGCUUAGUCAACGGGUCUACAACAUUCAGAUCCGUAUGUAUUUUGCAAAUCUCUAUGUCUCCCUCCUUGACUUGAUCGCGGAUGGAAAUGAAGCGUCUCUUGAUGUUCUUUGUUCUCUUGUGAAAUCUGAAUUCCUUUGCCAAGGCAAUUGCACAAGUAUUGUCACAAAAGAUUUUCAUUGGACCCGGUUGAAGGAAAUAUGCCCUAGAGGCAAUAAUAAAGUUGUUAUUUAUAUUUCCUUAUAUCAUGAUAAAUGUUUAUUAUUCAUGCUAGAAUUGUAUUAACCGGAAACUUAGUACAUGUGUGAAUACAUAGACAAACAGAGUGUCACUAGUAUGCAUGUACUUGACUACCUCGUUAAUCAAAGAUGGUUAAGUUUCCUAGCCAUGGACAAGAGUUGUCAUUUGAUGAACGGGAUCACAUCAUUAGAGAAUGAUGUGAUUGACUUGACCCAUUCGUUAGCUUAGCACUAUGAUCGUUUAGUUUAUUGCUAUUGCUUUCUUCAUAACUUAUACAUGUUCCUAUGACUAUGAGAUUAUGCAACUCCCAAAUACCGGAGGAACACCUUGUGUGCUAUCAAACAUCACAAUGUAACUGGGUGACUAUAAAGAUGCUCUACAGGUGUCUCCGAUGGUGUUUGUUGAGUUGGCAUAGAUCGAGAUUAGGGUUUGUCACUCUGAUUGUCGGAGAGGUAUCUCUGGGGCCUCUCGGUAAUGCACAUCACUGUAAGCCUUGCAAGCAAUGUGACUAAUGAGUUAGACACGGGAUGAUGCAUUACGGAACGAGUAAAGAGACUUGCCGGUAAUGAGAUUGAACUAGGUAUUGAGAUACCGACGAUCAAAUCUUGGGCAAGUAACAUACCGAUGACAAAGGGAACAACGUAUGUUGUUAUGCGGUUUGACCGAUAAAGAUCUUCGUAGAAUAUGUAGGAACCAAUAUGAGCAUCCAGGUUACGCUAUUGGUUAUUGACCAGAAGUGAGUCUCGGUCAUGUGUACAUAGUUCUCGAACCCAUAGGGUCCGCACGCUUAACGUUCGAUGACGAUCGGUAUUAUGAGUUUAUGUGUUUUGAUGUACCAAACGUUGUUCGAAGUCCCAUAUGUGAUCACGGACAUGACGAGGAGUCUCGAAAUGAUCGAGACAUAAUGAUCGAUAUAUUGGAAGGCUAUGUUUGGACACUGGAAGGGUUCCGAAUGAGUUCGGGCAUUUACCGGAGUACCGGGGGGUUACCGGAACCCCUCGGGGAGUCAAUGGGCCUUAUUGGGCCUUAGUGGGAGAGAGGAGGAGUCGCCCAGGUGGAGGGCGCACCCCCCAAGCCCAAUCCGAAUUGGGUGGGGGACCGGGCCCCCCUUUCCUUCCCUCUCUCUCCCUCUUCCUUCUUCUCCUACUCCAACAAGGGAAGGGGGGAACCUACUCCUACUAGGAGUAGGACUCCCCCCUUGGGCGCGCCCUAUGAGGGCCGGCCCUCCCCUCCUCCACUCCUUUAUAUACGGGGAAGGGGGCACCCCAUAGAAACACAAGUUGACAGUUUUCUUAGCCGUGUGCGGUGCCCCCCCUCCACAUAUUUCCACCUCGGUCAUAUCGUUGUAGUGCUUAGGCCAAGCCCUGCGUCGGUAACUUCAUCAACACCGUCACCACGCCGUCAUGCUGACGGAACUCUCCCUCGGCCUCAGCUGGAUCAAGAGUAUGAGGGACGUCACCGAGGUGAACGUGUGCAAAUCGCGGAGGUGCCGUGCGUUCGGUACUUGGAUCGGUUGGAUCGCGAAGACGUUCGACUACAUCAACCGCGUUACUAAACGCUUCCGCUUCCAGUCUACGAGGGUACGUGGACACACUCUCCCCGCUCGUUGAUAUGCAUCACCAAGAUGGAUCUUGCGUGUGCGUAGGUAUUUUUUUUGAAAUACUACGUUCCCCAACAGUGGCAUCCGAGCCAGGUCUAUGCGUAGAUGUUAUAUGCACGAGUAGAACACAAAGAGUUGUGGGUGAUAAUAGUCAUACUGCUUACCAGCAUGUCAUACUUUGAUUCAGCGAUAUUGUUGGAUGAAGCGGCUCAGACCGACAUUACGCGUACGCUUACGCGAGACUGGCUUUGCCGACGUGCUUCGCACACAGGUGGCUAGUGGGUGUCUGUUUCUCCAACUUUAGUUGAAUCGAGUGUGACUACGCCUGAUCCUUGUUGAAGGUUAAAACAGCAAACUUGACGAAAAAUCGUUGUGGUUUUGAUGCGUAGGUAAGUACGGUUCUUGCUAAGCCCGUAGCAGCCACGUAAAACUUGCAACAACAAAGUAGAGGAUGUCUAACUUGUUUUUGCAGGGCAUGUUGUGAUGUGAUAGUCAAGACGUGAUUAUAUAAAUUGUUGUAUGAGAUGAUCAUGUUUUGUAACACAGUUAUCGGCAACUGGCAGGAGCCAUAUGGUUGUCGCUUUAUUGUAUGAAAUGCAAUCGCCAUGUAAUUGCUUUACUUUAUCACUAAGCGGUAGCGAUAGUCCUAGAAGCAAUAGUUGGCGAGACGAAAACGAUGCUUCGAUGGAGAUCAAGGUGUCAAGCCGGUGACGAUGGUGAUCAUGACGGUACUUUGGAGAUGGAGAUAAAAGGCACGAGAUGAUGAUGGCCAUAUCAUAUCACUUAUAUUGAUUGCAUGUGAUGUUUAUCCUUUAUGCAUCUUAUUUUGCUUAGUACGGCGGUAGCAUUAUAAGAUGAUCUCUCACUAAAUUUCAAGGUAUAAGUGUUCUCCCUGAGUAUGCACCGUUGCUACAGUUCGUCGUGCCAAGACACCACGUGAUGAUCGUGUGUGAUAAGCUCUACGUUCACAUACAACGGGUGCAAGCCAGUUUUGCACACGCAGAAUACUCGGGUUAAACUUGACGAGCCUAGCAUAUGCAGAUAUGGCCUCAGAACACUGAGACCGAAAGGUCGAGCGUGAAUAAUAUAGUUGAUAUGAUCAACAUAGUGAUGUUCACCAUUGAAAACUACACCAUCUCACGUGAUGAUCGGACAUGGUUUAGUUGAUAUGGAUCACGUGAUCACUUAGAUGAUUAGAGGGAUGUCUAUCUAAGUGGGAUUCUUAAGUAAUAUGAUUAAUUGAACUUUAAUUUAUCAUGAACUUAGUACAUGAUAGUAUUUUGCAUGUCUAUGUUGUUGUAGAUAAAUGGCCCGUGCUGUUGUUUCGUUGAAUUUUAUUGCGUUCCUGGAGAAAGCUAAGUUGAAAGCUGAUGGUAGCAAUUACACAGACUGGGUCCAUAACUUGAGGAUUAUCCUCAUUGCUGCACAAAAGAAUUAUGUCCUGGAAGCACCGCUAGGUGCCAAACCCGCUGCAGGAGCAACGCCAGAUGUUAUGAACGUCUGGCAGAGCAAAGCUGAUGACUACUCGAUAGUUCAGUGUGCCAUGCUUUACGGCUCAGAACCGGGACUUCAACAACGUUUUGAACGUCAUGGAGCAUAUGAGAUGUUCCAGGAAUUGAAGUUAAUAUAUCAAGCAAAUGCCCGGAUUGAGAGAUAUGAAGUCUCCAAUAAGUUCUACAACUGCAAAAUUGAGGAGAAUAGUUCUGUCAGUGAGCAUAUACUCAGAAUGUCUGGGUACCACAAUCACUUGACUCAGCUGGGAGUUAAUCUUCUAGUUGAUAGUGUCAUUGACAGAGUUCUUCAAUCACUGCCACCAAGCUACAAAAGCUUUGUGAUGAACUAUAAUAUGCAAGGGAUGGAUAAGACAAUUCCCGAGCUCUUCGCGAUGCUAAAAGCUGCGGAGGUAGAAAUCAAGAAGGAGCAUCAAGUGUUGAUGGUCAACAAGACCACCAGUUUCAAGAAAAAGGGUAAAGGGAAGCCGGGGAACUUCAAGAAGAACGGCAAGCAAGUUGCUGCUCAAGUGAAGAAGCCCAAGUCUGGACCUAAGCCUGAGACUGAGUGCUUCUACUCCAAAGGGACUGGUCACUGGAAGCGGAACUGCCCCAAGUAUUUGGCGGAGAAGAAGGAUGGCAAAGUGAAAGGUAUAUUUGAUAUACAUGUUAUUGAUGUGUACCUUACUAAUGCUCGCAGUAGCACCUGGGUAUUUGAUACCGGUUCUGUUGCUAAUAUUUGAAGCUCGAAACAGGGGCUACGGAUUAAGUGAAGAUUGGCUAAGGACGAGAUGACGAUGCGCGUGGGAAAUGGUUCCAAAGUCGAUGUGAUCGCUGUCGGCACGCUACCUCUACAUCUACCUUCAGGUUUAGUUUUAGACCUGAAUAAUUGUUAUUUGGUGCCAGCAUUAAGCAUGAACAUUAUAUCUGGAUCUUGUUUGAUGCGAGACGGCUAUUCAUUUAAAUCAGAGAAUAAUGGUUGUUCUAUUUAUAUGAGUAAUAUCUUUUAUGGUCAUGCACCCUUGAUGAGUGGUCUAUUUUUACUAAAUCUCGAUAGUAGUGAUACACAUAUUCAUAGUAUUGAAGCCAAAAGAUAUAAGUUUAAUAAUGAUAGUGCAACUUAUUUGUGGCACUGCCGUUUGGGUCAUAUUGGUGUAAAGCGCAUGAAGAAACUCCAUUCUGAUGGGCUUUUGGAAUCACUUGAUGCUUGUGAACCAUGCCUCAUGGGCAAGAUGAUUAAAACUCCGUUCUCCAGAACAAUGGAGCGAGCAACAGACUUGUUGGAAAUAAUACAUAUUGAUGUAUGCGGUCCGAUGAGUGUUGAAGCUCGCGGCGGGUAUCGUUAUUUUCUGACCUUCACAGAUGAUUUGAGGAGAUAUGGGUAUAUCUACUUAAUGAAACAUAAGUGUGAAACAUUUGAAAAGUUCAAAGAAUUUCGGAGUGAAGUCAAAAAUCAUCGUAACAAGAAAAUAAAGUUUCUACGAUCUGAUCGUGGAGGAGAAUAUUUGAGCUACGAGUUUGGUCUUCAUUCGAAACAAUGUGGAAUAGUUUCGCAACUCACGCCACCCGGAACACCACAGCGUAAUGGUGUGUACGAGCGUCGUAACCGCACUUUAUUAGAUAUGGCACGAUCUAUGAUGUCUCUUACUAAUUUACCGCUAUCGUUUUGGGGUUAUGAUUUAGAGACGGCUGCAUUCACGUUAAAUAGGGCGCCAUCUAAAUCCUUUGAGACGACACCAUACGAACUGUGGUUUGGCAAGAAACCCAAGUUGUUAUUUCUUAAAGUUUGGGGCUGCGUUGCUUAUGUGAAAAAGCUUCAACCUGAUAAGCUCGAACCCAAAUCGGAGAAAUGUGUCUUAUAGGAUACCCAAAGGAGACUGUUGGGUACACCUUCUAUCACAGAUCCGAAGGCAAGAUAUUCGUUGCUAAGAAUGGAUCCUUUCUAGAGAAGGAGUUUCUCUCGAAAGAAGUGAGUGGGAGGAAAGUAUAACUUGAGGAGGUAAUUGUACCUGCUCCCUUAUUGGAAAGUAGUUCAUCACAGAAAUCAGUUCUAGUGAUUCCUACACCAAUUAGUGAGGAAGCUAAUGAUGAUGAUCAUGAAACUUCUGAUCAAGUUACUACCGAACCUCGUAGGUCAACCAGAGUAAGAUCCGCAGCAGAGUGGUACGGUAAUCCUGUUCUGGAGGUCAUGUUACUUGACCAUGAUGAACCUACGAACUAUGAGGAAGCGAUGAUGAGCCCAGAUUCUGCAAAAUGGCUUGAGGCCAUGAAAUCUGAGAUAGGAUCCAUGUAUGAGAACAAAGUGUGGACUUUGGUUGACUUGCCCGAUGAUCGGCAAGCCAUAGAGAAUAAAUGGAUCUUCAAGAAGAAGACUGACGCUGACGGUAAUGUUACUGUCUACAAAGCUCGAAUUGUCGAAAAAAGGUUUUCGACAAGUUCAAGGAGUUGACUACGAUGAGACCUUCUCACCCGUAGCGAUGCUUAAGUCCGUCCGAAACAUGUUAGCAAUUGCCGCACUUUAUGAUUAUGAAAUUUGGCAAAUGGAUGUCAAAACUGCAUUUCUUAAUGGAUAUCUUAAAUAAGAGUUGUAUAUGAUGUAACCAGAAGGUUUUGUCGAUCCAAAAGGUGCUAACAAAGUGUGCAAGCUCCAGCGAUCCAUUUAUGGACUGGUGCAAGCAUCUCGGAGUUGGAAUAUACGCUUUGAUAGUGUGAUCAAAGCAUAUGGUUUUAUACAGACAUUUGGAGAAGCUCGUAUUUACAAGAAAGGAAGUGGGAUCUCUGUAGCAUUUAUGAUAUUAUAUGUGGAUGACAUAUUGUUAAUCGGAAAUGAUAUUGAAAUUCUGAAUAGCAUAAAAGGAUACUUGAAUAAGAAUUUUUCAAUGAAAGACCUCGGUGAAGCUGCUUAUAUAUUAGGCAUCAAGAUCUAUAGAGAUAGAUCAAGACGCUUAAUUGGACUUUCACAAAGGACAUACCUUGAUAAAGUUUUGAAGAAGUUCAAAUGGAUCAAGCAAAGAAAGGGUUCUUGCCUGUGUUACAAGGUGUGAAGUUGAAUCAGACUCAAUGCCCGACCACUGCAGAAGAUAGAGAGAAAAUGAAAGUCAUUUCCUAUGCUUCAGCCAUAGGUUCUAUCAUGUAUGCAAUGCUGUGUACCAGACCUUCAUCUAGACUCCUUCAUUGCAUACAUGAUAGAUCCUAUAGCUGAGGCAUAGGGAAUGACUUUCAUUUUCUCUCUAUCUUCUACAGUGGUCGGGCAUUGAGUCUGACUCAACUUCACACCUUGUAACACAAGCAAGAACCCAUUCUUUGAUUGAUCCAUUUUGAACUUCUUCAAAAUUUUAUCAAGGUAUGUGCUUUGUGAAAGUCCAAUUAAGCGUCUUGAUCUAUCUCUAUAGAUCUUGAUGCCCAAUAUAUAAGCAGCUUCACCGAGGUCUUUCAUUGAAAACUUCUUAUUCAACUAUCCUUUUAUGCUAUCCAGAAAUUCAGUAUCGUUUCCGAUCAACAAUGUGUCAUCCACAUAUAAUAUCAGAAAUGCUGCAGAGCUCCCACUCACUUUCUUGUAAAUACAGGCUUCUCCAAAAGUCUGUACAAAACCAUAUGCUUUGAUCACACUAUCAAAGCGUAUAUUCCAACUCCGAGAUGCUUGCACCAGUCCAUAAAUGGAUCGCUGGAGCUUGCACACUUUGUUAGCACCUUUUGGAUCGACAAAACCUUCUGGUUGCAUCAUAUACAACUCUUCUUUAAGAUAUCCAUUAAGAAAUGCAGUUUUGACAUCCAUUUGCCAAAUUUCAUAAUCAUAAAGUGCGGCAAUUGGUAACAUGAUUCAGACGGACUUAAGCAUCGCUACGGGUGAGAAGGUCUCAUCGUAGUCAACUCCUUGAACUUGUCGAAAACCUUUUUUCGACAAUUCGAGCUUUGUAGACAGUAACAUUACCGUCAGCGUCAGUCUUCUUCUUGAAGAUCCAUUUAUUCUCUAUGGCUUUCCGAUCAUCGGGCAAGUCAACCAAAGUCCACACUUUGUUCGCAUACAUGGAUCCUAUCUCAGAUUUCAUGGCCUCAAGCCAUUUUGCAGAAUCUGGGCUCGUCAUCGCUUCCUCAUAGUUCGUAGGUUCGUCAUGGUCAAGUAACAUGACCUCUAGAACAGGAUUACCGUACCACUCUGCUGCGGAUCUUACUCUGGUUGACCUACGAGGUUCGGUAGUAACUUGAUCAGAAGUUUCAUGAUCAUCAGCAUUAGCUUCCUCACUAAUUGGUGUAGGAAUCACUAGAACUGACUUCUGUGAUGAACCACUUUCCAAUAAGGGAGCAGGUACAAUUACCUCAUCAAGUUAUACUUUCCUCCCACUCACUUCUUUCGAGAGAAACUCCUUCUCUAGAAAGGAUCCAUUCUUAGCAAUGAAUGUCUUGCCUUCGGAUCUGUUAUAGAAGGUGUACCCAACAGUCUCCUUUGGGUAUCCUAUGAAGACACAUUUCUCCGAUUUGGGUUCGAGCUUAUCAGGUUGAAGCUUUUUCACAUAAGCAUCGCAGCCCCAAACUUUAAGAAAUAACAACUUGGGUUUCUUGCCAAACCACAGUUUGUAUGGUGUCGUAUCAAAGGAUUUAGAUGGUGCCCUAUUUAACAUGAAUGCAGCCAUCUCUAAAUCAUAACCCCAAAACGAUAGCGGUAAAUUAGUAAGAGACAUCAUAGAUCGCACCAUAUCUAAUAAAGUGCGGUUACGACGUUCGUACACACCAUUACGCUAUGGUGUUCCGGGUGGCGUGAGUUGCGAAACUAUUCCGCAUUGUUUUGAAUGAAGACCAAACUCGUAACUCAAAUAUUCACCUCCAUGAUCCGAUCGUAGAAACCUUAUUUUCUUGUUACGAUCAUUUUCGACUUCACUCUGAAAUUCUUUGAACUUUUCAAAUGUUCCACACUUAUGUUUCAUUAAGUAGAUAUACCCAUAUCUCCUCAAAUCAUCUGUGAAGGUCAGAAAAUAACGAUACCCGCCGCGAGCUUCAACACUCAUCGGACCGCAUACACUAGUAUGUAUUAUUUCCAACAAGUCUGUUGCUCGCUCCAUUGUUCCGGAGAAUGGAGUCUUAGUCAUCUUGCCCAUGAGGCAUGGUUCGCAAGCAUCAAGUGAUUCAUAAUCAAGUGAUUCCAAAAUCCCAUAAGCAUGGAGUUUCUUCAUGCGCUUUACACCAAUAUGACCUAAACGGCAGUGCCACAAAUAAGUUGCACUAUCAUUAUUAAACUUAUAUCUUUUGGCUUCAAUACUAUGAAUAUGUGUAUCACUACUAUCGAGAUUCAACAAAAAUAGACCACUCAUCAAGGGUGCAUGACCAUAAAAGGUAUUACUCAUAUAAAUAGAACAACCAUUAUUCUCUGAUUUAAAUGAAUAACUGUCUCGCAUCAAACAAGAUCCAGAUAUAAUGUUCAUACUUAACGCUAGCACCAAAUAACAAUUAUUCAGGUCUAAAGCUAAUCCCGAAGGUAGAUGUAGAGGUAGCGUGCCGACGGCGAUCACAUCGACUUUGGAACCAUUUCCCACGCGCAUCGUCACCUCGUCCUUAGCCAAUCUUCGUUCAAUCUGUAGUCCCUAUUUCGAGUUGCAAAUUUGAGCAAUAGAACCAGUAACAAAUACCCAGGCGCUACUACGAGCAUUAGUAAGGUACACAUCAGUAACAUGUAUAUCAAAUAUACAUUUCACUUUGCCAUCCUUCUUAUCCGCCAAGUACUUGGGGCAGUUCCGCUUCCAGUGACUAGUCCCUUUGCAGUAGAAGCACUCAGUCUGAGGCUUAGCUCCAGACUUGGGCUUCUUCACUUGAGCAGCAACUUGCUUGCCAUUCUUCUUGAAGUUCCCCUUCUUCCCUUUGCCCUUCUUCUUGAAACUAGUGGUUUUGUUAACCAUCAACACUUGAUGCUCCUUCUUGAUUUCUACCUCCGCAACCUUUAGCAUCGCGAAGAGCUCGGGAAUUGUCUUAUCCAUCCCUUGCAUAUUAUAUUUCAUCACGAAGCUUUUGUAGCUUGGUGGUAGUGAUUGAAGAACUUUGUCAAUGACACUAUAAACCGGAAGAUUAACUCCCAGCUGAGUCAAGUGAUUAUGAUACCCAGACAUUUUGAGUAUAUGUUCACUGAUAGAACUAUUCUCCUCUAUUUUGCAGCCAUAGAACUUAUUGGAGACUUGAUAUCUCUCAAUCCGGGCAUUUGCUUGAAAUAUUAACUUCAAAUCCUGGAACAUCUCAUCUGCUCCAUGACGUUGAAAACGUCGUUGAAGUCCUGGUUCUAAGUCGUAAAGCAUGGCACACUGAACUAUCGAGUAGUCAUCCGCUUUGCUUUGCCAGGCGUUCAUAACGUCCGGCGUUGCUCCUGCAGUGGGUCUUGCAGCUAGCGGUGCUUUCAGGACGUAAUUCUUCUGUGCAGCAAUGAGGAUAAUCAUCAGAUCACGGAGAUAGUCCGCAUCAUUGCUACUAACAUCUUUCAACUUAUUUUUCUCUAGGAACAUAUCAAAAAUAAAUGGGGAGCUACAUCGCAAGCUAUUGAUCUACACAUAGAUAUGGAAAUACUAUCAGGACUAAGUUCAUGAUAAAUUAAAGUUCAAUUAAUCAUAUUACUAAAGAACUCUCACUUAGAUAGACAUCCCUCUAGUCAUCUAAAUGAUCACGUGAUCCAUAUCAACUAAACCAUGUCCGAUAAUCACGUGAGAUGGAGUAGUUUUCAAUGGUGAACAUCACUAUGUUGAUCAUAUCUACUAUAUGAUUCACGUUCCACCUUUCGGCCUCAGUGUUCCGAGGCCAUAUCUGCAUAUGCUAGGCUCGUCAAGUUUAACCCGAGUAUUCUGCAUGUGCAAAACUGGCUUGCACCUGUUGUAUGUGAACGUAGAUCUUAUCACACCCGAUCAUCACGUGGUGUCUCGGCACGACGAACUGUCGCAACGGUACAUACUCAGGGAGAACACUUAUACCUUGAAAUUUAGUGAGGGAUCAUCUUAUAAUGCUACCGCCGUACUAAGCAAAAUAAGAUGCAUAAAAGAUAAACAUCACAUGCAAUCAAAAUAUGUGACAUGAUAUGGCCAUCAUCAUCGUGUGCCUUUGAUCUCCAUCUCGAAAGCACCGUCAUGAUCUCCAUCAUCACCGGCAUGACACCAUGAUCUCCAUCAUCUUGAUCUUUAUCAACAUGUCGUCACAUGGUUGUCUCGCCAACUAUUGCUUUUGCAACUAUUGCUAUCGCAUAGCGAUAAAGUAAAUCAAUUAUAUGGCGCUUGCAUCUUAUGCAAUAAAGAGACAACCAUAAGGCUCCUGCCAGUUACCGAUAACUUCAACAAAACAUGAUCAUCUCAUACAACAAUUUAUAUCUCAUCACGUCUUGACCAUAUCACAUCACAACAUGCCCUGCAGAAACAAGUUAGACGUCCUCUACCUUGUUGUUGCAAGUUUUACGUGGCUGCUAUGGGCUUCUAGCAAGAACCGUUCUUACCUUGUUGUCAAACUCGAUUCAACUAAAGUUGGAGAAACAGACACCCACCAGCCACCUGUGUGCAAAGCACGUCGGUAGAACUAGUCUCAUGAACGUGGUAGUGUAAUGUCGGUCCGGGCCGCUUCAUCCAACAAUACCGCCGAAUCAAAGUAAGACGUUGCUGGUAAGCAGUAUGACUAUUAUCACCCACAACUCUUUGUGUUCGACUCGUGCAUAUAACAUCUACGCAUAGACCUGGCUCGGAUGCCACUGUUGGGGAACGUAGUAUUUCAAAAAAAAUCCUACGAUCAUGCAAGAUCUAUCUAGGAGAAGCAUAUCAACGAGCGGGGGGGGGGGGUGUGUGUCCACGUACCCUCGUAGACCAAAAGCAGAAGCGUUUAUCAACGCGGUUGAUGUAGUCGUACGUCUUCAUGAUCCAACCGAUCCUAGCACCAAACGUACGGCACCUCCAUGUUCAGCACACGUUCAGCUCGAUGACGUCCCUCGUACUCUUGAUCCAGUUGUGGCCGAGGGAGAGUUCCGUCGGCACGACGGCGUGGCGAUGGUGAUGAUGAAGUUACUGGCGUAGGACUUCGCCUAAGCACUACAACGAUAUGAUCGAGGUGUGUUUCUAUGGAGGAGAGCACCCCGCACGGCUAAAAGAUCAACUUGUGUGUUCUAGGGUGCCCCCCUCCCCACAUAUAUAAAGGAGGGAGGGAGGAGGAGGCCGACCAAGGGUGGUGCGCCCAAGGGGGGGAGUCCUACUCCAAGUAGGAUUCGCCCCCACCCCCCUUUCCUAUUCCCUCAAGGAGAAGGGGGAAGGAGGAGGAGGAGAGAAGGAAAGGGGGGCCGACCCCCCCCCCCAAACCUAGUCCAAUUCAGUUUGGGCUAGGGGGCGCGCACCACUCCUUGGCCUGCCUCCUCUCUUCCACCACUAGGCCCAUGAGGCCCAAUAACUUCCCGGGGGGGGGGGGGUUCGGUAACCCCCGGUACUCCGAAACUUAUCCGAAACGACCCGAACCAUUCCGGUGUCCGAAUAUAACCUUCCAAUAUAUGAAUCUUUAUGUCUCGACCAUUUCGAGAUUCCUUGUCAUGUCUGUGAUCUCAUCCGGGACUCCAAACAAACUUCGGUACAUCAAAUCACACAACUCAUAAUACAAAUCAUCAUCGAACGUUAAGCGUGCGGACCCUACGAGUUCGAGAACUAUGUAGACAUGACUGAGACACAUCUCCGGUCAAUAACCAAUAGCGUAACCUGGAUGCUCAUAUUGGCUCCUACAUAUUCUACGAAGAUCUUUAUCGGUCAAACCGCAUAACAACAUACGUUGUUCCCUUUGUCAUCGGUAUGUUACUUGCCCGAGAUUCGAUCGUCGGUAUCACCAUACCUAGUUCAAUCUCAUUACUGGCAAGUCUCUUUACUCGUUCCGUAAUGCAUCAUCCCGCAACUAACUCAUUAUUCACAUUGCUUGCAAGGCUUAUAGUGAUGUGUAUUACCGAGAGGGCCCAGAGAUACCUCUCCGACAAUCGGAGUGACAAAUCCUAAUCUCGAUCUAUGCCAACUCAACAAAUACCAUUGGAUACACCUGUAGAGCUUCUUUAUAAUCAUCUAGUUACAUUGUGACGUUUGAUAGCACACUAAGUGUUCCUCCGGUAUUCGGGAGUUGCAUAAUCUCAUAGUCAUAUGAACAUGUAUAAGUCAUGAAGAAAGCAAUAGCAAUAAACUAAACGAUCAUGGUGCUAAGCUAACGGAUGGGUCUUGUCCAUCACAUCAUUCUCUAAUGAUGUGAUCCCGUUCAUCAAAUGACAACACAUGUCUAUGUAUAGGAAACUUAACCAUCUUUGAUUAACGAGCUAGUCUAGUAGAGGCAUACUAGGGACACUCUGUUUGUCUAUGUAUUCACACAUGUACUAAGUUUCUGGUUAAUACAAUUCUAGCAUGAAUAAUAAACAUUUAUCAUGAUAUAAGGAAAUAUAAAUAACAACUUUAUUAUUGCCUCUAGGGCAUAUUUCCUUCACGGAGAACCCACCUUCGUUUGUCUUAGUCUUUAGUUUUGAAAGAGCAUGGUGCCCCCAUGUGUAGUUUUGGUAAUUGAUGACUUUCUCUAUGGACUAAUGGUUGCAUUGAGUUAUAUUUCAAGGAUUUGUCCAUAGGCAUUUCUUGAGUCCAUGUGUUGGUUUCAAGGAGUUUAUGAGAUGACCAAGGUGUUAUUGAAGGAUUUAUCCAAAGAUUGGUCAUGUGUAAGACAUGAUACAAGAUUGAUCAAGACUAAGUCAAAGUGUGAAUCAAGUGAUCAACACACAAAGCAUACAAGAUGUACCGAGAGGGAUCAAAUGAUCCCAUGGUAUGGCAAGCAUUGUACAUUAUGCUUUGUGUACUAUCCCAUGGUCUACGUGAGAGUUCUUUGUGGGGUUGGGUAUGUUUUCAUGGGCUUGCGUCAAGAGGAAGAUCUCAUACAACCCAUGGAGGACAUCAAGUGGUGAUCAUCAAGAUUGCGGUGUGCAAGUUCAACUGGAACAUCACGAAGAGAUCAUGCUUGAAGCUUGUUGUCCAUUGUGAUGACAAUGGACUUGUGCAGAUGUGUCGAAGAGUGGCUCACCCAUAGUGGAGUAUGGGGGAGCAAUCUACUAGUCUUCAUCGAGCCAACGCAAUCAAGAAAGGUGGUCCAACUUGAGGGAGUCAGGAUCGUCAUCAUCUAGCUCAAGUGGACUAAGUGCAAGGCAAAGGUUUGCCCUUGAUAGUUCUAUUUUACCGGUCUCAUGGUGGUAGUUGGGAGACCGGGUUAUAGGAUCAAUUGUUGUAGAGGGGGGCUCUCAAGUUAGUAGCUUGAUCGUAUCGUUCAUAGAGAGCUCAGACCAUUGCAUCAUUUUUUGGGUUCUUGUUUGGUGUUUCUCUUUGCGAGUCUUAGAGCUUAUGGUCAUCUUCAUGACAAGCUCGAGUUCAUCGAAAACGGAGUUCGUAUAUGCAUCUUCUAUGAUGUUUUCGAAGUGGGAGCUUUUAUCGGUUCUUCAUUCAUAGAGGUUUCACGUCUCUAUAUCAUUGUCAUUUUUUCUAAUGCCUCUUCUCAUUGUUUGGAUAGUACCUGUCAUCAUCUAUCCAACAAGCUUGAGUUUGCUCAUUUUGGAGCUCAUACGCGGAAGUUAUGGUACCUCUGGUUUUCUUGAUGCAUCUAUUUUGCUUGGGGCUUGCUUGAUGCACCCCUGCGGUAGUACUGCUCUGGGCAGCGGUAGUACCGCUUGUAAGCGGUAGUACUGCCCUAGUUGGGUGGUAGUACCGGUUGUAAGCGGCACUUCUGCUGUUCAGAACUGCGCGCACUUCCGCUUAUUCUGGAGGUUCUGUUUUUCAUGUCGGGUUCAGUGAUAGUAGGGGCGGCAGUGAAGUGCGGCAAUACCGCCUGUAACCCGUAGUACCGUCCCAGUCGGACAGUAGUACCGCUGCCCGGGUACUAAAGUCGUGCUCUUCUCUUCCCUACCUCCUCUAGUCCUGUAUUCUGCUUCUCUCAUGGUAGUGCUGCUGGGAUGAGGGGUAGUGUCGAUCCGACGGCUCCACCUCCCCAAGGUUCCUUGCCUUUGCUCUAUUUUCCUGGAUCUACCGCCUGAACGGUAGUACCGCUCCAUGGAGCGGUAGUACCACUUAUGUGCGGGCUGAGCACAUAACGGUUGGAUUCGGGAGGUUCUAUAAAAGGGAGUCUUCUUCCCCAUUGAACCUUAUCUUUUGAGCUCGUGUUUUCCCCCAUUGUUGACCUUCUUCAAGCUUGUUAUCUCUCAAUCCCUCCAAUGAUUCUUGCUAGUUCUUAAGGGAAAAGAAGAGAUCUAGAUCCACAUUUUCACCAAUCACUUUCUCCUCUAUGCGAGGGGAGCCCCUUGGAUCUAGAUCUUGGAGUUACUGGUGUUCUCCUUCUUGCUCUUCCUCUCAUAUUCAUCCAUAGCUUUUGUUGCUUUGGUGGGACUUGAGAGUGAGGGACUUGGGUACUCCGUGUGCCCUUACCAUUGCAUUAGUUGCAUCAGUUUGAGUUCUCCACGGUGAUACGUGGAAGUGAAUUGAGAAGCUUAUUACUCUUGGGUGCUUGGUACCCUAGAGCUUGUUCCUCUUGGGUGCUUGCGCACCCUAGACUCGGAGCUCAAUCGUUGUGGUGUAAAGCUCCGGGCUUGCGUCAAGUUAUGGAGAUUGCUCUGAGCAAUUUGUACGGGUUCCGGUGACCACCCCCAAGGGUUGCCAAAGUGUACGGGUUUGGUGACCACCCCCAAGGGUUGCCAUUCGUACGGGUUCGGUGCCCGCCCUCAAGGGUCCCUUAGUGGAAUCACGGCAUCUUGCAUUGUGCGAGGGAGUGAGGAGAUUACGGUGGCCCUAGUGGCUUCUUGGGGAGCAUUGUGCCUCCACACCGCUCCAAACGGAGAUUAGCAUUCGCAUGGGUGUGAACUUUGGGAUACAUCAUCGUCUCCGCGUGCCUCGGUUAUCUCUUACCAGAGACCUUUUCUUAUGCACUUUAUUUUGUGAUAGCCAUAGUAUGACAUGAUAUAUAUCUUGCUAUCACUUAGUUGUUUAUCUUGCUUAGCAUAAGUUGUUGGUGCAUAUAGGUGAGCAUAGUCAAUUUAGGUUUUGUGCUUGACAAAUUAAAUGCUAGUUUUAUUUUGCAUUUGUUCAAGCCUAAACCGUAAUUAUUUUAAAGCGCCUAUUCACCCCCCCCCCUAGGAGACAUCCACGAUAUUUCAAAAAAAUUGGCGAUAAUCACACACUGUAUUAAAAUAAAGGGUUACAACGCUUACAAAGUGAAAAUCAAACGAAACAAUCAGAAAUAACGGUCUGGUGAACCUUUGCAAAAAGGACCUCGAAAAAACCAACUUAAACUCCCUUACAUCAUGCCCAAGCCUUGUCCAGUGUUGGUUAACAUCAACAACGAAGGUCCUUUGGGAAUGGGGAUCAACCAAUAUGCCCAGAUUUGGGGAAACACCUUCGCGGUCUAUGUUGCUUGAUGAGUCGAUUAACCGAUCUGCCACAGACGACAGGACCCAGACUUCGUGGAGCGUCGGCCGGGGAUCUUCCUAGUGUUCACCAGAUUCCUCCAUCACCAUUCGACAAGGUUGAAAAAGAAGGGUGUGGUCACUAGCCGCCACCCUUGGGCUCAGCUUGAAGCCGCCAAAGGUUUUUUAGUUGUGGACAAUGUAUCCCUUUAAAAAUGUAAAUGAAGCUAGCCACUAAGGCAUUCAUCAAAAAGUAAAUUAGUGACACUUAUACUUAUUUAAUUGUAAGUUAACGAUUAUGCAUUUUACGAGGAAAAACUUUGGUGCUCCAAAUAUAGAAGGGCUAAUAAGUUAUUUUAAGGUUGCCUUUGACCACAAAUGAAAUCACUAACACAUGAGAUGCAUGAUAUAAAAGUUACAUCAUUAUAAACUCCUUUUAAAUACAAAUUUAGCAGUAUCCUUUCUAUAACAUGCAUGUCAAUAUUGCACUAACCUGUGAUCAAAGGUAAGGGAUCACAAUAUAUUUAAAAAUGGAUGCAAGUGUCUUCUGUUUAAUAUGAUUUCUCAAAUUUUGUGCUUCGAACCAAGUGUGAAUGGAAUUUAGCUCUUUGACAAGAAUGUAGACGAAACAAAAGGAAAAGAAACGAUUUACAACGUUUCAUAUCGGAAUUUAUGUACUGACUUACCCAGGCAGUUCAUACAAGUGCAUAACUUUCUCUCAUGCUCUCUGUACAAUAUGCACAUCACUGUCCUCUCUCUCUCCCCCCUUCUCCAUCCUCCCAUUUCAGCCAGAAGAUGACGAGAAAAGAGAGAGGGCGCGCGUCAAAAAGACUUCGCUGCCCCUCUAGGUGGCUCCAAAUCACGCCCAAAUUCAUGGCUCGUCGAGCCGCAAAUUUGGUGGUGACUUGUAUUGGUGAAAUUUCCUAGACCUGUUCCUUUUGUGACUCUAUUAUUGCGGUUGAUUUAUUGAUGGAUUGAAUCGUCAGCGGAUUUCUCCCGCUGCGUCUCCGAAUUUCUCGAGGCGGAACCUGCGCGGGAGCACUUUUGCUUUCCGGCGGAGCGAUUCCACGGGGGAUAGUUCUCUCCGGGAGGGGGAAAUCGAAGCCAUCGACAUCACCAACGAUCCUCUCAUCGUGGGAGAACCAAUCUUCAUCAACAUCUUCACUAGUACCAUCUCAUCUCAAACCCUAGUUCAUCUCUUGUAUUCAAUAUUUGUCCCAAAACCUGAGAUUGGUACAUGUGGGUUGCUAGUAGUGUUGAUUACAUCUUUUACUUGAUGCUAGUUGGUUUAUCUGGUGGAAGAUUUAAUGUUCAGAUCCUCAAGCAUACUCAAUACACCUCUGAUCUUGAACGUGAAUAUGAUUUGUGAGUAGUUACUUUUGUUCUUGAGGACAUGGGAGAAGUCUUGUUAUAAGUAGUCAUGUGAAGUUGAUAUUCGUUCGAUAUUUUGAUGAUAUGUAUGUUGUUGAUUUCUUUAGUCGUCUCAUGUGAACGUUGACUACAUGACACUUCACCAUACUUGGGCCUAAGGGAAGGCAUUGUAGAGUAAUAAGUAGAUGAUGGGUUGCUAGAGUGACAUAAGCUUAAACCCUAGUUUGUGCGUUAUUCCAUAAGUGUCUGAUUUGAACCCAUAUGUUUCAUACUAUUGUUAGAUUUAUCUUAAUUCUUCUUCCGUAGUUGUCGAUGCUUGCUAGAGGGAGUAAUCAUAAGUGGGUUGCUUGUUAAAGUAAGAACAACACCCAAGCACCGGUCCACCCAUACAUCAAAGUAGCGAACGUGAAUCAACUAAAUACGAUGGACGUGACUAGACGACAAUUCUCAUGUGUCCUCGAGAGCACUUAAUUUACUUUAUAUAAGAGAACUUUCCGGUGUGUCCUUUACUAUAAAAAGAUUGGGUCACCUUGCUGCACCUUUGUUACCAUUGCUACUUAUUACUUGUUAUGAAUUACCUUGCUAUCAAACCAUCUGUUACCCUACUUUCAGUAUUUGCAGAGAAUACCUUGCUGAAAAUUGCUUAUCAUUUUCUUCUACUCCUCGUUGGGUUCGACACUAUUACUUAUCGAAAGGACUAUGAUUGAUCCCCUGAUGCAGAGCAUCCCUACGUCAUCCCCAUGGACUCUACUACAACUCGUCAAGCACCUCGUGGACCAAUGGCAAGAGCACGUGCACGCACCAUCGAAACCGAUGUUAACUCUUUCCUCUUCGAACUUCAUUCGGAUUCACAUGAGAGUUGGGUUCUACCUCAAAUGGAUACAUUGUGCACUCUUAUGUACUAAGGAGAAGACCGCGAGGAAGUAUGGAGGGAUCACCGAGUGCACAUGGAGCCCCAAGGAGAAGAAGGAGCCCCAAGACUCGAAGCACCGGAGGCUCUCUGGACACCCCGGGUGCCCGGCCCUCCCCCGCCUGGGCACUUGAGAUGCCCCCCCCCCCGGGUGCCCGGGCCGCCACCCCCGGGUGCCCGGCCCCGCCAGCCGCUAAGGGCGCUGGCCCUCUGACCCGUCCGGGUGCCCGGGCCGCCAACCCCUGGGUGCCCGGCCCCCUUCUUGGCACCCGCAUCUGACCGGUCCGAGUGCCCGGACCCCUUUACCCCGGGUGCCAGGACCCCUCCGCAUGCCUGCGUGCACUUUUGGGUUUUGGACCCUUGUACCCCUCUCUCCCUCAUAUUUCGUCCCUAGACUAUAUAAACUCUCCCCUCUAGCUCAUUUGGAAGGAUAGCAAAGAAAUUAGAACACAAAAGAGAGCUUUGCUCAUCUUCCUCCUCUAGGAGAUCUAGACCUCCUCUUGGAGAGCUCCUUUUAGAGAUCAAGCCCUCCUCUUGGAGAAGAUCCUCUUGGAUGCAAGACCUCACCUAGUGGGAAGAACCUUUACCCUAGUGUUAUUUUCCUUGAAUUGUUCAUGUAAUCUUGUGGAUCUCAUGUAUGCUACUCUAGUGGAUGUGAUAUUGGGUUUGUUUGAGUGAUUUGUGCCUUGUGUUCUUGAGUGUUCUUCCUCCUUUUCCCCCUCCAAGUGUGAAAAGAUCCCCUCUAGGGUUUCACCCUACAACAUCCCCUAUACCUAUGAGUCAUCAGAUGGCGGCCUCCGAAAUCAGUGUCCGUGGAUCGGGCCUCGGGCCUCUGGAAUCAGUGUUUGUGGACCGGUCCCCUGUCCGCGGACAGAUGCUGGAGCAAAUUUGCGGGUCAGCGUUGGAAAUGCCCUUAAUAUGCUUUCUCAAAUUUUGUGCUUCGAACCAAGCAUGAACGGUAUUACAACAUGUAGAUGCAAAAAUAACCAGCUUAUACAUCUUCGAGGACCAAAAACUCAUCUCCAACACAUGAUUGUAGAUGCAAAAAAAUUACAUCUCCACCUCCAGGAGAUGUAAAAUACAACACCUGGAGAUGCAAAUUUUCAUCUCCACCUCCAGGAGAUGUAAACCUAUCCGCGCGCCAACCGCCUAUCAUUUCGUUUCCCACCCGUGCGUCGCCGCCACCCAGCCCGGCCCACUGCGUGACGCCGCCAAAUCUCGGCGCUCCACCAUCCCCUUCCUCCACCAAAUUGGCUAAUACCUCCGCCACCCGUCCUCUUUCGGCCACCGCCGUUGCCAACCGAUUCCAGCCAGCUCCGGCGCCACCCCGCCAGCUCCGGCCCCUCCCCUACCCAUUCCAGUCCGCCGCCGGCCAUCCCCGUCGCCCGAAUUUGGCCAUCCCCCGUGCUGGAGGAGAGGAGCGGCCGCGAACAGAGGAGGCUGUCGGACGCGCGUGGCAGCCAUGCACGCUUCUCGAAGGCGCUCAUGGUCACACUGGUCCGCCUCGAUGCCGUCCUGGGCCACGACCUGGCUGGCAGUGUCCACGAAGGAGGGGGCAACGAGGAGUGGCUGGGACAGAGAAGGAGCGGCAACAACAGCUAACAGUGUGCAGCAGAGGAGUGUGCAACAGUGUACAGCAGCUAACAGUGUGCAGCAGAGGAGUGGCAGCUCUAUUUGCUCGGUAGCCGGCGGCGCGCGAGAAUUUAGUCGGCGGCGUGCAAGAGCAUCGCCAUUUGAUCGGUGGUUCAGGUUUCGAUAGUAGGUUCAGUUUACAUCACCAAUUAUACAUCCUCGAUUAGUGUUGGACUUUUAUAUCACCAAUAUACAUCAUCUGUUGGAGUUGCCUUCUUUUAGGACGCCGAUGUCCACCACACGUGUGGCAUACUAGACAUCCGCCCACACACCGUGUGUGGCGUGAGCAGGAGGCAGCCCACACGGGUUGUGUGUGGGCGAACAUUAGAAUUGUCACACAUGUGGGCGCAGCUACUUCAUGCCACACGUUCAACAAGUACUACUCAUCUUCACCCAGCGCGUGUGGCAAGAAGCAAAAAUGCCCACACGUCCUGGCGCAGCUACGUUAGGUACCCGCGGGAUGACAAUUUAGUUGCCAUCCGGGAUGGCAGAUGUAGUUAUCCGGGAUGGCAAAUCUAGUUGUACAAGCAUGGCAACUCUAUCUGUUUUGGUUAACUAUAGUUGCCAUGUCUAAUUUAUGAUAGUUGCCGUGUGUAAUCAAAUCGUAGAUGUCGUGUGUGAUUAACUACUUGCCACAUAUGGUCAAACAAUAGUUGCCAUGUGUGUUUACCUAGUUGCCACGUGUGGUCCAACCAUAGUUGCCAUAUAUGGUUAAUCAUAGUUGUCAUGUGUGUUUAUCUGGUUGCCACGUACGCGCAACUGCAGUUGCCGUCUAGCAACAAAUCAUAGUUGCCAUGUGUGUUUACCUAGUUGCCACGUACGUGUAACUGCAGUUGCCAUCCAACAACAUACGAGUGUCGUGUGGGCGAAAAGCAGUUCGCCCACACACGCGUGGACUAGAUGGUGCCUGUGUGGACAGAAACUAGUUCGCCCACACAACGCGGCUGGCAAACCGCGUGUCGUGGGGCGUGUGGGCGAACUCUCCAACGCCCACCCACCAGCCCCGUCCUACGUGGCACGCAAAUUCUGUCUCAAUGUGUCAAGAUUCGUGCAAACUCGACUGGACGGUGAUCCACGCGUGUGGGCGAGUUGUAAAACUGCCACACAUGUGGGCGUUAUGAUUUGGGUUUUUUUAAUAUGUAAAAUACAUGUUUUGGUAGUGUAAAUUUUACAUCUUUUAGUUUUACAUCUUAAAAUUUGCAUCAUCGAAGAUGCUUUAUGUCGGUGUACAAAAGAAGGGGCGCACCUUUGUACCUCUCUACCUGUGCACAGGCAGUCGAAGCCGCGCCCACGGUCACACCAAGCAGAACAAGGGAGGUGAACCGAGGUAAAACCGAAGCCCAAGACGACCAGAGCAACGCCAAGACCAAGGACGCAAAGAAGCAGAGGGGCGGAGCAGUUUCCCCCGGCAAGACCCUUGCCGGGGACGGCCUCAGCAGCCCCGGCAAGACCCUUGCCGGGGCAGCAUGCCCAAACACCAACAGAGUGAGCCACCCUUGAGCCCACGUCCCCAACACCAUCAACCACGUUGGGCCAGGGCUCGGGAGGCACCUCUGUGGUGGCAUGCAAAUCUUUGUGAAGACAAGGAAUAUUCAAGAUUAGAUGCGGAUUAGAAGACUGCGAUCCUCGGCAAGAUCCUUGCCGAGGGGAACCACAAGACCCCCGGCAAGAUCCUUGCCGGGGACGACAGCGCGCCACGGCAAGGCCCUUGCUGGGCCACCCGGCAAGGCCUUCGCCAAGGGCGCCAGCAGGGCCACUGCCAGGCCCGCACCAACCAAGUUUCCACCGCCGUUCGCAUGCAGCUGCCAGCCCAACCAGCUGAGCAGGCACCUGCGUGGCAACAUGCAGCUCCCAGGCCAACUCAUCAGGCGCCUGCAUGGCGGCAUGCAGAUCUUCAUAGAGGCUCCACCACCGCGCCACCUCAGCUGCCUGCCUACCUACAUGGCGCCGCAUGCAUCACUGGCCGGGGCGCAUGUCGAAGCAAGGAGAAACGGCGACGGACGGGACGGGCCUCGCCCCCGUCCCCGAUAAAGCUAGGGGACACCUCAGCGGCGCAUUAAAUGCGUCUUGUCCUGUAAUACGAGCGAUAAGCUCGCAAUACUGUACGCCUUUCCACCUCCUGUAUGCCACUGUGGCAGCCCCUUUCGACUAUAAAAGGAGGCCCAUGGCAUACCGGAGAAGGAUUCGGCUCUUUGGGACCACGCACCCCACCAUAGCUAGUUCGAGAGCUUAAGAACUCUAUGAAAUACACCCACCAAAGCAGGACUAGGGUUUUACGCAUCCUCGCGGCCCGGACCUGGGUAAACGAUCCGUGUGCUGAUUACUAAUCCUGCUGUUCUCGCAACCCUGUGCCCCGGCAACCGUAGUAGGGAUUCUUGUGAUCCCAUAGGUGUCGUUCCACACCGACAUCUUUGGCGCGCCAGGUAGGGGGCGCAAUUGUGAGAAUCUGGUGUGGUAGUUAGCCUAGCAUUUCUUCGUCGCCAUGGCUCCCAAGAAAAAGACGGCCACGGUGAUCGGCUCGUUGGGAGCCGAACGGCCCGUGCCGGUGCGGGCGGGCAGUGGGCCGGUCGCGGACAGGACCCGGGCCACGGUCCGUGAGCACCAGCAUCGCCCUGGCAGUCAGAGCCUGGCGAGCGGCAUCGUUCGCGCGCCAGACGACCGGCCGCACGUCGCCAGAUCCAAAGACGGAGCUGGACCCCCCGCAGGCGGCGCGGGGCCCUCCAGGAGUGUCGUUGUGCCACCCCCGGGCGGCGCAGCGACCUCCAAGACGCCCACGUCGGCGACCACUGUGCGCUCUUCCCAUGGUGUGAGCGACGAGCAGCGUCACCACGCCGGUGACCCUGGGCACCGCCGUGGGAAGAGCCCUGUGCGUCGUCCGCGGGAUGAAGGAGUUCAGCAUGCCCGCCGAAGUGCUGGCGAAAAUGGCACGCAGCCGCUGGGUCGUAACGGAGCUCCUUCUAACGUGGUUAGAAGUCGAAGCGCGUCGCGAUCCACGCAGCUGUCGCCGCCGCCCACGCCAGCAGAAGCUUUGGCGCGCGCGCAGCUGCUCCUCGACUUCCCUCCUGCUGCAGAGAAGCUCGACGAGUGGAGGGCCACCAUCCGGAGCCUCGUCGCCGUCGCCAACGAAGACGAUCCGCGACCGGCGGGUCCCUCGGGUCGGUGCUCCACCGAGCCACCACAUGCUGGCGCUGGGAGGACCGGGGGAGCUGCGGCCAUGGUGCACUCUCCUCCUCCUCGACAGCUGCCGCGGGCGUCGGCCCAUCGUGACGACGCUUGUGAAAACAUCUCCAUAGUGUCGUCCGACCCGCGGACCCUCCGCGACCAGCGCCAAGUUCUUCGGGAACGAGCUCACGAAGACGCUCGGACCACCAUCGCACGCCGGCGCGACACACGCCACCAGUCGGACAAGCGGGCGGGACCCGCUAUGGACCACCCAGCACCAGGGGGGCUCCGGCGGCCUACCUUACGAGGUGGGCUGCCCGGCCUUUACCCGCGAGCUGCGGCAGUUCCAGUGGCCGUCCCACCGCACGUUCAAGCCCGACGUCGGCGAGAAGUACACUGGCAAGACCCAUCCGUCCGAGUUCCUCAGCAUCUACACCAUUGCGAUGUAGGCUGCCGGAGCUCGCGACGACAAGGUGCUUGCCAAUUAUUUCCCGCUGGCAGUGAAGCCCAAUGUUAUGUCUUGGUUGAUGCACUUGCCGGCGGAUUCCAUUUCUUCUUGGUCGGAUCCGUGCCAUGAGUUCAUUGGCGCCUUCACAGGAGGCCACCAAGCUCAUGGCAGGCCAGUGAUCUGCAUAUCAUCCCCCAGAAGGAAGGGGAAACCCUGCGCAAGUACAUCCAGAGAUUCAGCCGGGUGCAGUACAACAUCCCCGACGUUCAUCCCGCCGCCGUGAUCAGCGCGUUCCAUCAGAACGUGCGCAACCGCAAGAUGCGCGAAGAGCUGGCGAUGACCAAGGUUAAGGAUGUGGCCGAGCUCUACGUUCUGGCCGAUAGAUGCGCCCGGGCUGAAGAGGGAAGGAAGUACCCCGGCGAAGACGCCGGUGCGGAAACCGACUCUACCGACGAAGACGCCGCCACCCCGACAAAGAAGGGACGGCGUCGCAACAGGAAACGCAAAGGCAAGGCCGUGCUUGCCGUUGAAGGAUCUGACGACACCGAUGCUGCCAAGAAGGUCAAGGCAGACGCCCCCGGCAAGGAGAUUGCCGGGUGCGCCGCCUGCUGGGCCUUGGCGGCUACCGACAAGCCAGGAAGCUCCGGCAAGCAAUACUACAAGAUCCACCGCACCAAGGGCCUCGACCUCCAGAACUGCCGACAAGUUGAGCUGCUUGCUGAGAAGCAAAAAGCUGAGUACGAGAGGCGGGACAAGGAGAAGGACCAGGAUGGUGCCGAGGGAUCCGGCAAGAAGCAUGGCGGCCAAGGAGGCCGUCGCGGCAAGGACAACCAGCAAGAGAGACCCGCCCGAGGCCGUGACAAGAAACAAGAAGACGAUGAUCACGACGAGGACGACGAGUCCGGUGAGCAAGAGUUCUAGAAGGCUACGGAGGCCAUGUGCGUCGAUGGUGGCGCCUCGCUGCAUACUUCUCACCGCCAGCUCAAGCAGUGGGCGCGUGAGAUUACAGCAGCGGAGCCGUCGUUCGACGCUUAGAAGCCGCUGAAGUGGUCCAGCACGCCCCUCAUCUUUGACGCCGAGGACCACCCUGACCGCACAACCGCGGUCGGGUGUUUGCCAUUGUUGGUCUCACCAACGAUACGCAACCUCAAGGUGAACAAGAUGUUGGUUGACGGCGGGGCCGGCCUGAACUUGAUCUCGCCUGUCGUGAUCAAAAGGCUGCAAAUUCCUGAUGGAGACCUCGAGGAAACGGGCACGUUUCAAGGAGUCGAUCCGGGGAGGAGCCAGCCGAAGGGGAAGGUCACACUGCCCGUGAUGUUUGGAGGAGAGUUGAACUAUAGGACGGAGAGGAUCAUCUUCAACGUGGCCGAGAUCCCCUUGCCCUACAACGGGAUCCUCGGCCGCCCGGCACUAGCCAAGUUCAUGGCGGCAUCACACUACGCCUACAACAUGCUAAAGAUGCUCGAGCCGUUGACCAUCAUCUCCCUCCCCUCCGACAAGAAGGAUGCGCUGAUUUACGCCGACCAACUCUACCGGGAAGCAGUUGCAGCGGCUAUCGUCAAGGCACCUGCUCCUGCCGCUGAAGGCCCGGGAGGGAAGAAGAAGCCCGGCAAGACCUCUCGCACCCACUCCGGCAAGCACACCUCUUUGGAGUGUUGCGCUACCGUCAAGGACGCGCCAGAGAGCUCUACCGGCAAGAGCAAGAAAUCCAGAGCCGAGCCACCGCAGACCAAGAAGGUGUCCGCCAGGGAGGAUGGAACGGGAGGGGCCUUCACCAUAGGCUCCACCCUCGACAGCAAAUAGGAAGGCGCGCUCGUCACCUUCCUGCAGGCAAAUGUCGACGUGUUUGCAUGGCAAGCAUCCGACAUCCCCGGUGUUCCCAGGGAGGUGAUUGAGCACCACCUAGCUGUCUGCCCUCAUGCGUAGCCCGUCAAGCAGAAGGUCAGAAAGCAGGCUCUGGAGAGGCAGGAGUUCAUCACAGAGGAGAUCGGGAAGUUGGAAGCGGCAGGUUUGGUGAGAGGAGUGCUCCACCCGACGUGGUUGGCCAAUCCGGUAGUGGUGCGCAAGGCGAAUGGGAAGUGGAGGUUGUGUAUUGAUUAUACAGAUAUCAAUAAGGCUUGUCCUAAGGACCCCUUUCCGUUGCCGCGCAUCGACCAGAUUGUUGACUCCACGGCCGGGUGUGAUCUGUUAUCAUUCCUCGACGCCUACUCCGGCUACCACCAAAUCUUCAUGACAAGAGAGGAUGAAGAGAAGACAACAUUCAUCACCCCAUGUGGUACGUAUUGCUUUUUACGGAUGCCUUUCGGGUUGAAGAGUGCUAGCUCGACGUUUGCAAGAGCAGUCCAAAUUGGUUUUGAACCUCAGCUCCAUAGAAAUAUGGAGGCAGACAUGGAUGACAUAGUGGUCAAAACCAAGGACGGGCCAACUCUUGUGCAAGAUCUGGAAGAGACAUUUGCCAACUUGCGCAGGAUCAACUUUAAGCUGAACCCUAAGAAGUGUGUCUUCGGCAUUCCGUCCGGCAAGCUUCUUGGAUUCUUUGUGUCGCAGCGCGGGAUCGAGGCAAACCCAGACAAAAUCAAAGCUAUUGAGCAGAUUGAGGCGCCCAAGCGGAUCAAAGAUGUGUGUCGGCUCACUGGCUGCGUCGUCGCCAUGAGCCGAUUCAUCUCCAAGUCCGCCGAGCGUGCCCUUCCCUUCUUCAAAAUCUUGAAGAAGGCAGGCCCAAUGGAGUGGACCCCAGAAGCCGAGGCGGCGUUGCAGGAUCUGAAGAAAUACCUUUCCUCCAUGCCAAUACUGGUUGCGCCUAAACCACAAGAGUCGUUGUUGUUGUAUCUAGCGGCAACGAAUCAAGUGGUCGGCGUCGCACUGGUGGCGCAGAGGGAGGUCAACGAAGAGGCAGUGGCGGUGGCAGAAUCAGCGGAUGGCAAGCCAAAGAAACCCCCGGCAGGGCCUGGUGCCGGCAAGGCAGGGCCCCCGGCAGGAUCUGACGCCACCAAGGCAGUACUUGCGCAGUCAGGUGAAGUGGUGCAGAAGAAGAAGAUGGUGCAUUACCCGGUUUACUUUGUCAGCUCCCUCUUGCAGGGGGCUAGGUCGAGGUACUCCGGUGUGCAAAAAUUGCUCUUCGGCCUCCUUAUGGCCUCGAGGAAGCUGCGUCAUUACUUCCAAGCCCACGAGAUCACUGUCGUCACCCGCCUCCCAUUGCAACGGAUACUGCAUAACCCAGAUGCAACCGGAAGGAUUGUGGAUGGGCCUUGGAGUUGUCAAGUUUUGGUUUGAAGUUUGAAAGUACCUCGACAAUCCAGAGCAGAGUCUUGGCGGAGUUCAUUGCAGAAUGGACCUCAACGCCCGACGAAGAAAUCCAGGAGACCGCUCUCCCCGGCAAGGAAGCAGACCGCGACUGGAUCAUGUACUUUGAUGGGGCUUCCUCGCUGCAAGGCGCCGGUGCCGGCGUGCUGCUCGUCGCGCCCACCGGAGAGCACCUCAAGUACAUGGUCCAGAUGCACUUUCCCAGGGAGAUGUCCACCAACAACACUGCAGAGUACGAAGGGCUGCUUGCCGGUCUCAGGAUCGCGACAAACCUCGGGGUUAAGAAGCUCAUCGUCAAGGGUGACUCACAGCUUGUUGUCAGACAGGUCAACAAGUAUUACCAGAGCCCAUUGAUGGAGGCUUACGUAGAUGAGGUGAGGAAGCUGGAGGAGCGCUUUGACGGUAUCCAAGCGGAGCACGUCUCCCGAAUGGAGAACAACACCGCCGAUUACCUGUCGAAGCGUGCUGCAUUCAAGCUACCUGUGGAACCAGGUACCUUUUUGCUCCGGUUAACUCAACCAUCCGUCGAACCAUCAACGGGGCAGAACAAGCGGAGGAAGUCAGGUCCCGGCAUGUACUUUCCUACCGAGCCCCCUGGGGCUGCCGACAAGGGUGUUGCCGCGGACGCUGAGCCUGCCAAAGGGCAACUGGCUCCGGCAGGGCGUCAAGCCCUAGCCAUGGAGACUGCCGCGCCCAUGGCUGAGGAAAUGCUUUUGGUCCCUGCCGUCGAGCCCCAGGCUCCGGCAUGGACACAGCAUAUUGUCCGAUUCCUCCAAACAGGGGAACUUCCUGAGGAGCAGGAAGAAGCGGAAAAAGUAGCCCGCCGGUCCGCCCUAUACCAGUUCAUCGAUGACGUCCUGUACAGGAGAAGGCCGAACAGCGUGAAAUUGAAGUGCAUCCCCCGGGAGGAAGGACUGGAACUGUUGGCAGAGAUACAUGGAGGCAUAUGUGGCUCCCACAUAGGGUCGAGGGCCCUUGCCGGAAAGGCGUUCCGGCAAGGUUUCUUCUGGCCCACCGCCCUCCAGGAUGCGACGACACUAGUAACCAAGUGUGAAGCGUGUCAGUUCCAUUCAAAGAAGCUUCAUCAACCAGCUCAAGCCCUUCAAACAAUCCCUCUCUCCUGGCCAUUCUCGGUCUGGGGGCUCGAUAUACAGUACUUGUAUGUUGCAAUCGACAAGUUCACAAAGUGGCCGGAAGUGGAAGCAGUGAGAAAGGUGACUGCUCAGUCAGCUGUCAAGUUCUUCAAGGGGCUGGUUUGCCAUUUUGGUGUGCCAAACAGAGUCAUCACCGACAAACGGCACACAGUUCACAAGCCAUACCUUCAUGCAAUACAUCCAAGACCUCGGCAGCAAGGUCUGUUUUGCUUAUGUGGCACACCCCUGGAGCAACGGCCAAGCAGAGAGGGCGAAUGCUGAAGUGUUGCGAGGCCUGAGAACGAAGACCUUUGACAGGCUGCAUAAGAGCGGAAGGCGCUGGAUUGAUGAAUUGCCAGCGGUUCUUUGGUCGAUCAGAACGACGCCAAAUCAAGCCACCGGCCAGACACCCUUUGCCCUAGUAUAUGGGGCGGAGGCAGUUCUCCCCACGGAACUCAUAUACGGGUCACCUCGAGUGCUCGCUUAUGAUGAGCUUGAGCAAGAGCAGUUGCGCCAAGAUGACGCAACGCUCCUUGAGGAAGAUCGUCUUCGGGCGGCUGUGAGAGCAGCACGCUACCAGCAAGCCUUGCGCCCCUACCAUAGCCGCAAGGUUCAUGCCCGAAGCUUUGAGGAAGGCGACUUUGUUCUUCGGCGCGUUCAGUUGGCCAAGAAUACCAACAAGUUGACGCCGAAGUGGGAAGGCCCUUAUCGGGUAAUACGAGUCACCAGGCCCGGCGCAGUCCGCCUGGAGACUGAAGAUGUUGUCCCAGUGAGUAAUUCCUGGAACAUCGAGCACCUUCGCAAGUUUUACCCAUAAGGCGCGGCUUGCCGGGCCCCCCGGCAAGCCACCUUUUUGUACAAGCUUUGCCGGCAAGGCAUGUAACCCUUUGUACAAAGCCAGGCGCAGACCCUGAGCAUAAAUAAAUGAAGCGCUGGCGCCCUAAGUUAUAGCAUGCAUGCUAGGUCGAGUCUCUUCCUUGGUUAGGGUUGAUAGUGCUUAGCAGCGACUAACCCCUAGCCUAGAGGGCGAGUGCGCGUCUCUCUGUUUCUUUUCUGUCCUCUUUUGGUUCGCAGGGCACAUGGGCACUUCUGCUGAGCUACUUGGAAGAAAAGGCACGGACCGGCGUCCUAACCCCGGCAAACCAAAGUUGCCGGGGGCUGGGAGUACAAGGAUCCAACCGCGGCGAGAUGAGGUUGCCGGGGGCUGCACAUCCAGAUAAGUCUUUUAUCCUCCGUCAUGCAUUUCGUUAUGAAACUGGGAUAUGUGAAACCUCGUUUUAUUUCUAGGCCACCGUGCUCCCCUUUUCUAUACCCAAGGAUUAUCUCCUGGGCCCGGAUUUGGUUGUAGUCACGGCGGCAAGGAAAUAGAACGAGGAGCCUAAGCCCGCUUCAUCCCUGCCUCCGCCAAGGUCGUGAGGAUGGUCGAGCGAAGCGGGGGGGCAGCAAGGCCUAUUGCCGGGUGGGAAAUGUUUAUCUUAAAUAGUAACAAGGAUUCACUCCUUGUCGUGGGUUCCAUCCACGAACGAAACCCCCCAGCAAACACCCCUUUUUCAUUAAAAACAUCCCGUACAGGUACAGUUUAUACGAAAUGAAACACAUGAGCAAGGGGGAUUACAAGCUUUAAAUUUAACAAGGCCCGAAGGCUUACAGAUUAAAAAAGAGGUGAGAUGCCCGUAAUCCCUUUCUUGUCCCUCUCCUCAGGAGGCAGGUCAAGGAGGGGAAAGGGCAAAAGGGGCGCCUAGGCGAACUACGAGGAGCAGAAAGCACCAAGAGAACACCUCGGUGUCCGCCCACGGAUGGGCCGGUGAUGACGGUGCUGGGAAAGGAGCUGGAAGACGAGGCGGCAGGACCGGCAAUACGCGAUGAAGGCGCCGGUGCCCACGUACUCCGAGUUGACGACCUUGCUGCCCGCCCUCUUCCUCUUCCGCAGCCUCCCGACGCCAGCCGCCCAAGGAGACGGCCCCGAGAAGUUCAAGGAGCUGGCCCCUCCGCCGGAAAAACUCUACCGGAGGAGCGGCCAGGUGCAGAUGCUGCUGCUGUCGCACCCACCCAGGCGCGGGGCGUCUGACGCCUAGUCGGACUCGUCCCCGUCAUCUGCCCCGCUGUCCUCCUCAUCACUUUCGCUCGAGGAAGAGCUUCCAUCGUCAGAAUCUCCAUCGGAGGAGCUCUCCACGCAGCACUUCAAGCGAGUCCCGAAGUCUCCGAAGACCUUGCCGGAGAACAGGCCGUCCUCCAUUAAUUUGAAGUAGAGGACGAGCCCCGCCGUCAGGCUGUGGAUGUGAGCGAACGUCUUCCAUCCACGACGGAGGUACAUGACCCGAGGAGCCGGGAAGUUGACGUCGACCCGCGUGCCCCCAUUCCCACAGCCCCUCAUGUGCAAUCUGAGGGAUUGGGGCGGGUCACGCUCCAUCUCCCGAGCAAACGGGGCAGGAAGACGAAAACGGCGACGCGAAGGCCGACUGUGACGCCCCCGAUUUGACCGUACACUAAUCAUGCACGCAAAUGUGUACGAUCAAGAUCAGGGACUCACGGGAAGAUAUCACAACACAACUCUACAACAUAAAAUAAGCCAUACAAGCAUCAUAAUACAAGCCAGGGGCCUCGAGGGCUCGAAUACAAGUGCUCGAUCGUAGACGAGGCAGCGGAAGCAACAAUAUCUGAGUACAGACAUAAGUUAAACAAGUUUGCCUUAAGAAGGCUAGCACAAAAGUAGCAACGAUCGAAAAGGCAAGGCCUCCUGCCUGGGACCUCCUAACUACUCCUCGAAGUCGAACUCCAUGCAGAAUCAUCCUCGGGAUCUCUAGCUCCUGGACUCCAGCACCUGGUUGCGACAACCAGGUAUAGAAAGGGGAAAAGAGGGAGAAAAGCAACCGUGAGUACUCAUCCAAAGUACUCGCAAGCAAGGAGCUACACUACAUAUGCAUGGGUAUAUGUGUAAAGGGCCAUAUCAGUGGAUUGAACUGCAGAAUGCCAGAAUAAGAGGGGGAUAGCUAAUCUUGUCGAAGACUACACUUCUGGCCACCUCCAUCUUGCAGCAUGUAGAAGAGAGUAGAUGGUAAGUUCACCAAGUAGCAUCGCAUAGCAUAAUCCUACCUGGCAAUCCCCUCCUCAUCGCCCUGUUAGAGAGCAAUCACCGGGUUAUAUCUGGCACUUGGAAGGGUAUGUUUUAUUAAGUAUCCAGUUCUAGUUGUCAUAAGGUCAAGGUACAACUCCGGGUCGUCCUUUUACCGAGGGACACGGCUAUUCGAAUAGAUAAACUUCCCUGCAGGGGUGCACCACAUAACCCAACACGCUCGAUCCCAUUUGGCGGAACACACUUUUCUGGGUCAUGCCCGGCCUCGGAAGAUCAACACGUCGCGGCCCCACCUAGGCUCAAUAGAGAGGUCAACACGCCGGUCUAAAUCCUAUGCGCGCAGGGGUCUGGGCCCAUCGCCCAUUGCACACCUGCACGUUGCGAGGGCGCCGGAAGCAGACCUAGCCUAGCAGGCGUUCCGGUCCAAUCCGGCGCGCGCCACUCCGUCGCUGACGUCAAGAAGAGCUUUGGCUGAUACCACGACGUCGAGUGCCCAUAACUGUUCCCGCGUUGCUGGUUAGUGCGUAUAGACCAAAUGGCCAGACUCAGAUCAAAUACCAAGAUCUCGUUAAGCGUGUUAAGUAUCUGCAAACGCCGACCAGGGCCAGGCCCACCUCUCUCCUAGGUGGUCUCAACCUGCCCUGUCGCUCCGCCACAAAGUAACAGUCGGGGGCCGUCAGGAACCCAGGCCCACCUCUACCGGGGUGGAGCCACCUGUCCUUUCAGCCCCCUCAUCAGAAUCACUUGUGGGUAUCCUCGAGCCGACCCGACUUUAGUCACCACAUGUGUCAUGUAUAUAAUGUAUAUAGUAUAUACCUGUGAUCACCUCCCGAAGUGAUCACGGCCCAGUAGUAUAGCAUGGCAGACGGACAAGAGUGUAGGGCCACUGAUGGAACACUAGCAUCCUAUACUAAGCAGUAGGAUAGCAGGUAAGGGUAACAACUGUAGCAACAAUGACAGGCUAUGCAUCAGGAUAGGAUUAACGGAAAGCAGUAACAUGCUACACUACUCUAAUGCAAGCAGUAUAGAGAAGAAUAUGCGAUAUCUGGUGAUCAGGGGGGGCUUGCCUGAUUGCUCUGGCAAGAAGGAGGGGUCGUCAACAGCGUAGUCGGUCGGGGCACCAGCAGCGGCGUCGGUCUCGUAGUCUACCGGAGAGAAGAGGGGGAAGAAACAAUGAAUACAAUGCAAACAGAUGCAUAACGAUGCAUGACAUGACAAAGUGUGAUGCUAGGUGUGCCCAAACGCGGUACUAGGUGAUACCGGCGAAGGGGGGAAACAUCCGGGAAAGUAUUCCCGGUGUUUCGCGUUUUCGGACAGAUGAACCGGAGGGGGAAAGUUGCGAGUUCGAUAUGUUAGGGAUGUGUGGCGGACGAACGGGUUGCGUAUCCGGAUUCGUCUCAUCGUUCUGAGCAACUUUCAUGUACAAAGUUUUUUCAUCCGAGCUACGGUUUAUUUUAUAUUAAUUUUAAAAGGUUUAAAUCAUUUUUUAGCAUUUAUUUAAUUAUUUCAAUCCAACAUUAUCCAAAACAGUGCACGCUGACGUCAGCAUGACGUUAGCAUGACGUCAGCAGUCAGCAGAGGAGUUGACUGCUCAACUGACGUGUCGGUCCCGCAUGUCAUUGACACAUUGCCCUAACUAACAGAUUAGUUAGUUCAAUUAGAUAUUUAGGUUAAUUAAGUUUAAUUAGUUUAACUAAGCGGGAUUAAUUAAGUUAAUUAAUUUAUUAAUUAAUUUAAUUAUUAAUUUUUUAUCUUUUUUUUAACGUUCAGGGGGCUGGGCCCCCCCUGUCAUAGGCCCCAGGGGCCGUGGCGGGUUGGUCACUAGCGGGUGCGGGCAACGGGUGCAACGCCCGACCCGAACGGGCGCACGCCCAGGUGCAAGCGGACCCGGGAGGGCACCGGAACAGGGGAGGCCGGUGGCCACGGCGUGGCCAUGGCCGGAGCGGGGCGAGGCCGCGGUGGUGCGCGGGCGGCCGCCGGAGGCCGUAUGGGCGGCAGCCGGAGGCGGCGCUCGGUUGCGGCCCAGCAGGAGCUGCGGCAAUGGCCGCGGGGAGGCCAGGCCGGAGCCGCAGGGGGAGGCGGGCGGUGACCGGAGGUGGCGCAGAGGGGCGAGGCCGAGAACGCUGCCUACGCUAACAGCAGGCAGUGGCCGGGGUUCGGUCCCGCGGCAAAGGGCGCCAGGGACGGCCUAAUCGGGCAAGGGGAGGGGGAAAAUGGACGGCGGCUCGUAGUGGAGCUUGUUGAAGUCUCGACGAGGCCGAAGUUCGUUGGGGAGGGGCGGAUCGAGCGGCGACGACCGACAGAUGCAUCCGGGAGAGGAGGUCGAGGGCGACGGCUUUGAGGCCCCCCCGGCCCGGUCCAGUGCCAUGAUGAGGCACCCGGGAUGGGCAACGGCCGACGAGCGCCGGGCUGCGAACCUGGCCCCGACGCGGCCAGGCGCGCGGGCAAGGAGGCAAGGGCGUGCGAGGCGAUGGCGAGCCGCGAGAUGGCGGCUGGUCUCCGGCAAGGGCGGCCGGCGCGAGGUGCGGCAGAGGAGGUUGGCGAGGUCGCCGACGAGAGGUAGGAGGCGCACGGGGCGGUGACGGCGACGGGGCCGUGCCCCGAUCCAGAUCGGGUCGGGGGAGGAGACGAGGGAGCGAGAGGGGUUGUGGGGGCGCGAGUGGGAGGGUGUGGCGCUAGGGUUUGGUGGUGGAGCGGGUUAGCAGCCCAGCGGGGGUUCGGCGCGGGUGGGCUGGCCAGAUGGCCUAGCUGGGCCAAGGCCCAGCGGGGGGAGGGGGUUCUUUGUUUUUUUUGUUUUAGUUCUGUUUUCUGUUUUGUAUUUUCUUUUCUUUUACUUAUUUUCAUUUUCUGUUUUAUUUAUUUUAGAGUAUUUCAGCAUUUUCUAAAAAUGUGUUUUCUUCACUAUAAUUACCUGUGCAAUAUUUGGCACAAUCCGAACAUUUUUGUCCUAAUGUUUGAAAACUUUGGUUGUUUGACAAAAAUUCAAAUUUCAAUUCGAAUCGUUUUGAACUAACGUGAGAUUAGCGACAGUAACAGAGGUGACGUGGCAUCUUUAGCAGAGGUUUACUGUAGCUUAAUUAUCCGGGCGUCACAAUUCUCCUCCACUACAAGAAUUCUCGUCCCGAGAUUUAAGAGGCGGAGUAAAGGGGAAAGACUAGGUUACGAAAUUCUAACGAUUCUUCUUGGCCUUGGUUGCCCUUUCGAAGAGGUUGAUCCCUUUCGUUGAUGUCUUCAUUUCUCUGCUUCAAGUCACCAUGAUCAAGUCGUCAUCCUUUCUUCGGGAACUCCAUCGUACUUACGAAAGAAUAAAGGGUGGUUAUUCCGGAAGAACGGACCUCUGCAAGGUUGACUACCUGGUAGCUAACAUCGGGGGAAGGUGGCGGAAAGUAACUCUCGAAUGGAAAUUUAAGACAAUAUCGAGAGCAAAGUAAGGAGGUAUCGUGGGGAAGUUUCGAGCGGGCAGGCAAUCGUUCGAUGCUUGAAGGGUUCAGAGCAACGGGAAUAAGUAUUGUGUCUGAUACCAAAAUUGAUGAUCUCACGAAAGGUGGCAUGUGAAUCACAUACGAAGCCAAGCGUGAGGAAUAACCUUGGGAACAGGGGUGUACAAGAGAGUCAGGUUUCGAUCCUGUGGAACUGUGGGUUAUGGGCCCACCAUGUGGUUUUUUUUAUAGGAGCAGUGACAUCUUGCACGGUCAUGAUAGCAAGGCAUGUCAGAGAGUACCCUGCCAGUUAUGUCGGCAACACGUUGGUACCAAGGGCGAGGGACGAAGAGAACCAAUUUUCCUGCUCGUUGAAACGAGGCGGACCAAUAGGCAAAGUUCUCAUCCAUCGGUGGCUACCGAAAUGUCAUCAACGAAAGUAACAUGGUCUACUGAGAGAGUGGUACAACGAGGUGCUCAACUAAGCAGGGAAUUAUCUCUACUCAGCUAAGUCAGAUUACAAGAAAGGUUAAACAAAACAAUGGAAAGGAAAAUAUGAUUAUCAGAGUAAACAGAAAAAAGGAAAGGAAAAUGUGUUUAAACACAUAUUUCAAGGGUAUAUGCUUCCCAAGGACAAGCAGAGCAUGAUAUCCAUGAUAGGAUAUAAUGUAGAAAACCCUUUAGGUAAGAGGAGAGAAAUUUCAUGACAUUACCCAUACAACGGUGUUUGGAUAAUUGAGCAGGAAACAAUUAGCUUUGGGCUUCAAAUGUUCCUGUUGAAAAUCGGAGUACCAUAGACAUGCUUCGAGAUAGCAUUGACAUGAUCUUCAGGCAAAGGACAGACUCUAGAUACACAAAGGACUUAUUAGGAACAACUUAUAGAAUAAGUCUUACAAUUUCCUCGUGAAAGAAUGGAUAACCUUGCAAAAAAGGAAACUAUAACGAUAGGUCCGCCGCCCAGGUGUACCGGGCAUGACAUCACCUUACCGGGUCAUGUGAAGACCAAUGUUAUAACUCUUUGAAAUAUGUCCCUACCAUCAUAUCUGACCGAGAUCCAGAUCUGAUUGGUGUCUCGAUACCUCAGACUUAGGAUGCCUGAGAAGAAAAGGUGCGACACAAUUUGACGAGAUGACAUUGUAAGAUUCUCGGGAAAUGAACUAUGGAAGCGAGUUCUGAAACAAGAGUCCCUCAGUAAACCAAUGAGAGGAUGAGGAGGUGGCUGAUGGAAUCAGCGACAAUUCAUCGAGAUUAACAAAAGAUGGAUUUCCACAACUAUGUGAACAAGGAGAUAACAUUUGUCAGAUCAAAUGGUAUAAUGAUGUAUGCUCGAGGAAAACAUACACAAUUAAACAUUGGUUGAAAGGGGCACCCGAAAUAUGGGCUGGGUUGCACGACCAACGUCGGAAUGGAAAUUUAGCAACCAGCACACUACAUUGGAAUUAUUGUCCAUUAACUCUGAAGUAACAAGGUUGCUAGAGAUAUUAAAUUCUCAUAACAGAGUUCACUCAACACGGGGACCAAGAGAAGAAUGAUGAUGGUGAGAAGCAUCAUUGUAUCAAGAAUUUCUUAAGAGGUGGUGAAACUCUCACGACAUUCUUGACAUAAAAGAUGGUAAUACUCCAGUGUAAAGAAGAACAAUUGCUGGGUUGCAAGGAACUCAAGGUAUAACACAAAACAAGAACAAGUUUGUGUUGGAGGAAAGGUAGUAGAGUGGUCGAUGAUAAUACUAAUCAUCGAGGGCAAGGAUGGUCUUUCUCAUCAUGAAUUCCAUUGAUAUCCUGGAAGAGCUCAGAAUGUUGAUGAUGAUCACGACACAUUUGUCGAGAGAAUUCAUGAAGAUGUAAUCGAUUGGCGAUGACAUCAAGUCAAGGGAAUGAUGAAGCAAAAGGUUAUUGGAACCAGGGGUACGACACAAACUCGAAAUCAAGCUUGUUGUUCAAGGCUAAAUGAUAUGGCAAGGAAAAUCGACGUAAGCUUAGCUCAUCAUCGAAGUGGUGCUCCAAGAAUAAGGACCAGGUAGCACACAGUUGAAAAGUUGCACGAUAUUGAUAUAGUUGAUCAGGCUAAGAAUGACUUGAAGGAUUUUUAAACUCGUAAGCAACGAAAAUUACUUAGAGUUAUUGAAUCGGAGUGCGGAAUUGAUUCACAUAUCGGUGUUCUCGAGUGAAUUAACUCAGAACCCGGGGGAAAUCUGAAAUCAGUGAGAAGCAAUACUAGAUGAAGACUCAUUGGAAGCAACACAGUUCUUUGAUAUGCUCGAGAUAUUGGAGGGUAUUACUCGAAGGAAGAUCGACAUAGGGGUUGCGGAGAGGUAUUGAUCUGCAGAAGACAAGUGUUUUAACUUGUCUGAGAAAUAGUAUUUAAAGGAGAACAUGGUCGGAACCACGACUGCAAAGGGGCAAUUCACCGAUAUCAGAUGAUAUUAUAUCAAGGAAAUAGCUAUUAUUACAAGAAGCUUCCAUGAUAGGAUCUACAUCGUGUCCAUGGGCAUGAACACAAAGUUCAAGGUCGACUCCCACUUGUUCAACGCAUAACCUUUCAUUUACCUCUCGUAUUUCGAAAAUGACAUUAGUUGUUGAAAGUUUUUACCUGAUGCAAUACCAGAUAAGUAUGACCCAUGAAAUCUUUCGGGUUCACACGGAUUAGGGAAGGCGUAGGUUCAACCCAUCAAGGCAUCUUAGGAACAUAUACCACAAACUUCGGAGUAAAUAAUACAAGCUCGAAAGUAGAGCAUGGUUCACAAAGCAGAGGAUACAAUUUACCAAAGGCAUCAUGUAUCCGAGGAAAAGCUCACAAGCUUAUUUAAUAUGAAGGACAUUGUCAGAUAAAAUCCGACAAAAGGGUCUGGUGGUCCACAAGGGAUCUGAUGUGAGCAUCAGUACUCAACCAGAGGAAGAAAGAAUGCAAGGAGAUCAGAUUAUAGAAACAACUGACUAACUCAAAGCUCAAUGCAAAGGAAUUAUAAUUUCAAAUUCAAGGGAUCAGAAGCAAACGCUCUGAUUGAGGAUGGAUAAGUCGAGUAAACUUACAGGUACAAUCGAUGGCAAAUUUGAUUGGUCAAGAUCCAGCUCAUGUUUAAAAUGACGUCUGAGCCGGAAAGAUAAUUUCGAAGGGUCGAUCGAUGAUUGUGUGCAUUCGCACACAUGUUGAAUCAAUAGGAUCAAAAUGAUAGUGUCAAAAGAUACUAGUGAAUAUUGCUAGUGAUAUGGGAGCAUCCAUAAUGUAAGCAAGUAAGAAUUUCAAGAGCAAUAGGCUACUCAGGAUUUUCGGAAGUUCAAAUAGUAUUUUGAAGACUUUUGUGAAAUACAGGAAUCAACUGUGGAUGAGCGAAUACUCGAUAAGUGUGAGCAAUUAUCCGUAGGGGUAUUUAUGUGGUAAAGAACUGCAAGGCAGUAAGCUCAAAGGAUUCUCGGAACAACAGAGAGAAUUUCGGGGAAUCUUGUAAUAACCAGAUCAACUGGGAAACAUUGUAUGAAUGGCGAGUAUACGUGGUUAUCCAUAGGAGUUUAUCGAUGGAAGGGAAUUGCAAAAGCGAUGAACACAAGUUCUCGGGUUAACAGCGGAGAGUGUCUUCAGGGUCCUCACGUGCAGCAGACGAUCAUCAGUAAUAAGGGGCUCUCCGGGUGAAAGUGAUAACGAGAUCCUAAUGUUAGAAUUAGCAAAAUUCAUUUAACCCGAAUAGGAGAGAGAUCAGAUUCCCAGAGUAAAGGUCGAGGAGUAAAAGAUCCUAAUACCACCCAAUGGCGACGUGGGCCCGUAAGCUACACAGCCAUGUUAGUAAAACAGUUUUCACUGACUAGACUCAACUUUGGCCAAGGAGUUGGAAAGGGAGAUUCCUACAGGCAGUUGGCUCUGAUACCAACUUGUGACGCCCCCGAUUUGACCAUACACUAAUCAUGCACGCAAAUGUGUACGAUCAAGAUCAGGGACUCACGGGAAGAUAUCACAACACAACUCUACAACAUAAAAUAAGUCAUACAAGCAUCAUAAUACAAGCCAGGGGCCUCGAGGGCUCGAAUACAAGUGCUCGAUCAUAGACGAGGCAGCGGAAGCAACAAUAUCUGAGUACAUACAUAAGUUAAACAAGUUUGCCUUAAGAAGGCUAGCACAAAAGUAGCAACGAUCAAAAAGGCAAGGCCUCCUGCCUGGGACCUCCUAACUACUCCUCGAAGUCGAACUCCAUGCAGAAUCAUCCUCGGGAUCUCUAGCUCCUGGACUCCAGCACCUGGUUGCGACAACCAGGUAUAGAAAGGGGAAAAGAGGGAGAAAAGCAACCGUGAGUACUCAUCCAAAGUACUCGCAAGCAAGGAGCUACACUACAUAUGCAUGGGUAUAUGCGUAAAGGUCCAUAUCAGUGGACUCAACUGCAGAAUGCCAGAAUAAGAGGGGGAUAGCUAAUCCUGUCGAAGACUACGCUUCUGGCCACCUCCAUCUUGCAGCAUGUAGAAGAGAGUAGAUUCACCAAGUAGCAUCGCAUAGCAUAAUCCUACCCGGCGAUCCCCUCCUCGUCACCCUGUUAGAGAGCGAUCACCGGGUUAUAUCUGGCACUUGGAAGGGUGUGUUUUAUUAAGUAUCCAGUUCUAGUUGUCAUAAGGUCAAGGUACAACUCCGGGUUGUCCUUUUACCGAGGGACACGGCUAUUCAAAUAGAUAAACUUCCCUGCAGGGGUGCACCACAUAACCCAACACGCUCGAUCCCAUUUGGCCGGACACACUUUUGUGGGUCAUGCCCGGCCUCGGAAGAUCAACACGUCGCGGCUCCACCUAGGCUCAACAGAGAGGUCAGCACGCCGGUCUAAAUCCUAUGCGCACAGGGGUCUGGGCCCAUCGCCCAUUGCACACCUGCACGUUGCGAGGGCGGCCGGAAGCAGACCUAGCCUAGCAGGCGUUCCAGUCCAAUCCAGCGCGCGCCGCUCCGUCGCUGACGUCAAGAAGAGCUUCGGCUGAUACCACGACGUCGAGUGCCCAUAACUGUUCCCGCGUAGCUGGUUAGUGUGUAUAGACCAAAUGGCCAGACUCAGAUCAAAUACCAAUAUCUCGUUGAGCGUGUUAAGUAUCUACGAACGCCGACCAUGGCCAGGCCCACCUCUCUCCUAGGUGGUCUCAACCUGCCCUGUCGCUCCGCCACAAAGUAACAGUCGGGGCCGUCAGGAACCCAGGCCCACCUCUACCGGGGUGGAGCCACCUGUCCUUUCAGCCCCCUCAUCAGAAUCACUUGCGGGUACUCCUCGAGCCGACCCGACUUUAGUCACCACAUGUGUCAUGUAUAUAAUGUAUAUAGUAUAUACCCGUGAUCACCUUCCGAAGUGAUCACGGCCCAGUAGUAUAGCAUGGCAGACGGACAAGAGUGUAGGGCCACUGAUGGAACGCAGCCUGAUGAAGAACUCGCGGGGCUGGUCUCCAACAUGGCCUUACAUCGAAAAAGGCAUCAUUGGCGGGGGCGAAGCCGGCGCGCCGCCCCGUCCUCCUCUUCCCCGAGCACCACGACCUCUGUCCCGGCCUCUCCCACGGCCUCGGCCCCUCCCCCUUCCCCUCGCGGCCGGCUCCACCACCACGGGCUCAGGAGGAGGAGGGACGCGCUGUCGAGCGGCGACCCUCGCCGCCACCGUCGAGGGACCGGGAUUCCCUUUCUCCAUGGCGAGUGAAAGGAAGAAGCAGAAGCAGGAGGAGAUAGAUGACAGAAGAGUGUGGGGUGCCAUCCCCCUUCCCCCCCUCUUAUAAAGGGGUGGGGUGAGGGCUCGGCCGCCCCGCUCGACCAAUCCAGCCACCAGAGGCGCAGGGAAUCGAGGCCGACCCGCUGCCCCAAUCAGCGACGACCCGAUUUCCCGCCUCCACCGCUUGCCACCCCAAGCGCAUGGAGGACACGUGGCGAACGUGCAGAAUCGAGGGGACGGGUGGAGUGACCUCUCCCCACCCCGUGAUCGUGGGGUGUGGACGCCUUGAAGACCGCGACCCGGCCCCGCGCAGUAAAUGAGCCGCGCCUCCACGCCUCCCUCUUUUUACGGGGAAGGCACGGGCCGCCUCUUUACCACGAUAUGACGCAUGCAUGCGGAAACUGCCCCACGCAUGCCGCCCAUGUAACGCGCACCCCUCCACGCCGCGCAGCGCGCGAAAAGUUUUACCGCGGUGAAAACCGCCCCGCCUGCCCGCGCACCGUUUUGGGCCUGGCCCAACAACGUGUCGCGCUUAUGUGUGGCCCAGGCCCGGGGGCUCCUGUCGGUGUACAAAAGAAGGGGCGCACCUUUGUACCCCUUUACCUGUGCACAGGCAGUCGGAGCCGUGCCCACGGUCACACCAAGCAGAACAAGGGAGGUGAACCGAGGUAAAACCGAAGCCCAAGACGACCAGAGCAACGCCAAGACCAAGGACGCAAAGAAGCAGAGGGGUGGAGCAGUUUCCCCCGGCAAGACCCUUGCCGGGGACGGCCUCAGCAGCCCCGGCAAGACCCUUGCCGGGGCAGCCGCCCAAACACCAACAGAGCGAGCCACCCUUGAGCCCACGUCCCCAACACCAUCAACCACGUUGGGCCAGGGCUCGGGAGGCACCUCUGUGGUGGCAUGCAGAUCUUUGUGAACACAAGGAAUAUUCAAGAUCAGAUGAGGAUUAGGAGACUGCGAUCCUUGGCAAGAUCCUUGCCGAGGGGAACCACAAGACCCCCGGCAAGAUCCUUGCCGGGGACGACAGCGCGCCACGGCAAGGCCCUUGCCGGGCCACCCGGCAAGGCCUUCGCCAAGGGUGCCAGCAGGGCCACUGCCAGGCCCGCACCAACCAAGUUUCCACCGCCGUUCGCAUGCAGAGCCCAACCAGCUGAGCAGGCACCUGCGUGGCAACAUGCAGCUCCCAGGCCAACUCAUCAGGCGCCUGCAUGGCGGCAUGCAGAUCUUCGUAGAGGCUCCACCACCGCGCCACCUCAGCUGCCUGCCUGCCUACAUGGCGCCGCACGCAUUACUGGCCGGGGCGCGUGUCGAAGCGAGGAGGAGCGGCGACGAACGGGACGGACCUCGCCCCCGUCCCCGAUAAAGCUAGGGGACACCUCAGCGGCGCAUUAAAUGCGUCUUGUCCUGUAAUACGAGCGAUAAGCUCGCAAUACUGUACGCCUUUCCACCUCCUGUAUGCCACUGUGGCAGCCCCUUUCGACUAUAAAAGGAGGCCCAUGGCAUACUGAAGAAGGAUUCGGCUCUUUGGGACCACGCACCCCACCAUAGCUAGUUCGAGAGCUUAAGAACUCUUUGAAAUACAUCCACUAAAGCAGGACUAGAGUUUUACGCACCCUCACGGCCCGAACCUGGGUAAACGAUCCGUGUACUGAUUACUAAUCCUGUUCUUCUCGCAACCCUGCGCCCCGGCAACCGUAGUAGGGAUUUUUGUGAUCCCAUAGAUGUCGUUCCACACCGACUUUAAGUUCUUUGACAAGAAUGUAAACGAAACCAAAGGAAAAUAAACGAUUUACAAAGUUGCACACCGGAAUUUAUGUCAGUUCAUGUACAAGUGUGUCACUUUCUCUGAUUCUCUCCGUAAAAGAGAAUAUGCACAUGUCCAUCCUUGGUCGCACUUAUCACGCCUCUCUCUCCUCCCGCUUCUUCCUCCACACUCCCAUUUCAGCGGGGAGACGAGAAAACAGAGAGGGCGCGCGCGAAAAAGACUUCGCUGGCCCUCUAGGUGUCUCCAGAUCACGCCCAAAUUCGUGGCUCGUCCAGCCGCGAAUUUGGUGGUGCCCUACUUUUAUUGGUGCAUUUUCCUAGACUUGUUCUUUCUGUGAUUCCUCUUAAUCCCUCCCGUGUUCUUGCGGCUGAUUUCUUGACGGAUUGAAGCGUCAGCGGAUUUCUCCGGCUGCGUCUCCGGAUUUCCUCGAUCUGGGGGCAAUGCGGCUGCGCAUUCGGUUCUCUGCCUCGGAAGCCCCCCAAAUCCCCCGCCAUUGGUGAUUAUUUCUGAGCUUCCUCGCCUUAAAAUCGGCGCGUUUCUCGGAGCACCUCGAGGCAUCUGAUUUCAGAAGGUCAUCGCCGCGAUUUUACGCGAACUUGGGCGGGGCAUUGUUCUGAGUUCUUUUUUUUUGUCAAAACAUUUGUGCCGCGUCACUGGAUUUCGUCGGCCACUUGCUUCAGGGAGCUCACGGAUUUGUUGUCCGUCGCCACAAACCUCCCGCCGGUAAGCCGGGGGAAUCACAUUGCGAUGGUAGAGUCGGUGUAGGCAGGAGCAGGCAAAAGAUGAGGCGCUGCAGGGGAGAAUGGCUCCCCGCGCCGUGCAUCAUCUCCGUGCUGCUCUUCCUACCAAUGGCCUGCGGACGAUUGCUCAUUGGCCCAAGCGACACGUCGCCGCCACCUGCGCUGACACCAACCUUCAUCAAGCAAGUUGACGAUUGGGUGAGUAAAUUUUCUAUGUAUUUCAUCGCACUCGGUAGUAACAUCUGUACUGAGAUGGUGUCAUUCCAUAGUUUGUGAUCAAGACCAAAGUAGUUUAGUUUUGGUCAUCUUAAGAAGUGAGAAUUAACUUAUUAAGUACUCCCUCUGUAAACAAAUAUAAGAGCGUCCGAUAUUUCUUUACAGAGGGAGUAUCAAUCCUUUUGUUAGAGAAAAAACCGGUUCAGGAAGGCAGGAAUUGCCACCAUCGAGACCAUACAAUGACAGAAUUGCAAGGAUUGCCCGGCUAUAUUUCUGAUAUGGUGUUUAGGUUGGUGCCCUCGCUCUAUCAACACAUAUGGUCCACAUGUAUGAGCUCAUGAUGCCGGCAUUCAGAAUUGUCAUGUGGUGCUCUUCGAAUUACCUGUGACAGAAUAGAUAAGAUCACUGAAUUUCUAGUGGUUCCCAGAGGCCAAAGCUGUUUAUGAUUUUACUGCAUUGAAAAUACUGACUACAGAUUAAAACCCUGCAAGCAGAAGCAGAGAUUUUGAAACAAAUUAUUAACGUUCCCUCCUGUUAGGUACACAUUACUCCUUAUUUAAUGAGUAGCAUGUGUCGGAUUAACUAUGUUAUUAUUGGUAUGAUGCAUGUAGACUUAUUUUUUCCUUAAGUAAGGAAUGUGAUGAUAAUAUGAUAUUGUUCGCAAAUAUAAGAUGUUCUAACUUUUUUCCUAAUCGGAUGUAUAUAGACAUGUUUUAGUGUGUUUGUUCACUAAUUUCAGUCUGUAUGUAGUCCAUUUUGAAAUAUCCAAAAUAUCUUAUAUUUGUAAACAGAGGGAAUAGUCUCUAACUGCUGACUCUCACUGGUACUUCAUGGUAGUUUAUAUUUUUAAUGGUCUGGUUUAUCAUAUUAUUAUUCUGAAAAGGAUGCACACCCAGUUUAUCUCAUCAGCAUCUGUUAUUGAUUAAUUUUCACGUACUGACAAGGGUGACCACUCGUUAUGAUAUCUAUAGGUGGAACACGCGUGGCUCAAAUGUGGAUUGGACAAGAAAAGCCUUCAAGAUGUUAGAAACUACUACGACUACAACCAUGUACUUGAUAUCAUCCAUAGGAUAUCUGAUAAUAAGGGAACUUCCCCUGUCAUUGGAAAAGGUGCAGGCCCACUGACACCAGAUAUCAAGCAAACUUUGCUGACCUGCUUAAGCAAACAGAAUUUUGAGGUUCCAAAAAACCUACCCGAUGGUUAUAUCGAAACACUUAUCGCCUCAAUAAGAGAAGAGCUGACUCCGGGACCUGCUCCUGCAAAUGAAGCAGUAAAACCUCCGCCAGGGAAACCAGCUGACGGUUCUUCAUCAGAAGCAACUACAAAAAAGGCAGUGCCUGCAACUAAAUCAGUGGGGAAAAAAGACAGCGAUGGCAUGCCAACUACCACUAUCGUUGGUGUGUCCCUGGUUGUUAUCGCACUUUUAGCUCUUCUCUGCGUUGGCUGCUGCAUGUUCCGUGAAAGUUCUGCGGCUUCUGCCUAUGAUAAUAAGCAACUCCUGAAUCUAUGUAAUGUCUUGUAUCAUCCAUUUUGCUCCAAGUCAACGUUUUUCUUUCUUCUACCACUGACUUUUAUGCUUUCAUUUGCAGCGGAUUCUUGCAAGUCUUCCAGUGUAAAUCUAAUAGAUGUCACUAAGCUGGGAGCAUUGCCAUUGCAGUCAGAGGCUGGCCAAAAUGGCCAUGUGAAUCAAAGUUCACAGGAAGGCCCAAACACUGAUCAAGUUGGCUAUGUGAGACUAAGUUCACAGGAAGGCCCAAACACUGAUCAAAAUAACCAUGUGAAACUAAGCUCACAGGAAGACGCAAACACUGAUCAAAUUAGCUAUGUGAAACUAAGCUCACAGGAAGACCCAACCAGUGGUCGAAAUAGUGAUGUGAAGCUAACUUCGCAGGAAGACCCAAACACUGGCCAAAAUAACCAUGUGAAGCUCACUUCACAGGAAAGUGCAAACACUGAUCCAGCAAUCUACAGCAGUUCCGCCGAGCCAAUGGCUGCUUCUGUUGAUUCUGAGCAAGGAUCAACACCAAUGCCUCAACCAAUGAUGCCACCUCCAGCACAUCCUCAAGUACUUGCGCCUCAACCAAAGGCUCCUCCUUCACCACCAGCUCCUCAAGCACUUGAGCUGCCUCCGAAUGCUUCUCCAGUUCUUUCCUCUGGACCUUCACCGCCACCAGCUCCAAAAGCCUCCCCGCCUCCGCCCUCAGGACCCUCACCACCUACUGCUCCAAAAGCUGCACCACCACCACCACCACCAUCAAAAUCUGGUGGACCUCUCCCGCCACCACCAGCGCUGCCUGGUUCUUCCAAAACGCGCCCACCACCACUUAUGAAGUCAGGCAAUAAAACAGACACAGAUGAGGAUUCUAGUGAAGCUAAAACAAAGCUUAAGCCCUUCUUUUGGGAUAAAGUAGCAACAAAUGCUAAUAAAUCAAUGGUGUGGGAUCACCUUAAAGCUGGAUCAUUCCAGUAAGUUGGUAGAGAUAGCUGAGCUAUAUAUCUAGUUAUCUACUAUUGUAAGAUCGCACCAUUUUAUAACUAAUGGUACUUCUUCACAGGUUAAGUGAGGACGCUAUUGAAACACUUUUUGGUUGUAAUGCUGACAAGAAGAGUGGUGAUGCCAAAAAAGAUAUAGCAUCAAAGGAAGCUGCCCAAGUUGUGAGGAUACUUGAUCCUAAAAAGGCACAGAACCUGGCCAUAUCAUUGAAGGCGUUGAGUGUUUCAGCAGAGGAAGUUUCUUGUGCAGUUAAGGAAGGUAAAGUGUAUUGUCACUCGUUUAUACUGUGCAAGUGCAUAGCUCUUCCUGGAUGAAAUGCGGCUUCUUCUGAUUCUUGCCAGUCUUGUAGAUACAGUUAUUUUAUUAUAUUUUUGGGCAAAGCUCCAGUUUUUUUUUAAGUUGCAGUGGUACAUCGAAUACUUAUCCAGCUUCUGGUCUAUAACUCCAUGCAAUAAUAUAUCAGCUGCGUAUAUCAUUUGUGUCUUCACAAUCAGGAGUUACGGCUAUUCUUCUGUGCUAAGGACAAUGAAUCACUUGAUUUCAUUUGUUUCUUCUAUUUUUCAAAGCAAAUAGUACACAUUUCUGCUAAACUGAUGUGAGUCUUGUCUUCUAGGUUAACUCUAAUUCUUGAACUAAUAACAAAGUCAGCAAGAUUAUGUAGCACGCAAGUGAUGUCAAAUGCUCAAAUCGGCAUUUGGUUCUAGACUUAACCACAUUUGUGUACAUCUGGCCUCCAUAUUUUGGAAUGGACGCCUCAAGCAUGGGUUCAUGUGCUUCUGACUAUUCUAUUUGGACAUUUAGAACAAAGAACAUGUUGAUUAAAUCCUAUUUCCUGAUAACAUCUUUUGCCUUAUCAAUUUCCCUCGAUAAUUUGUAGGAAAUGAACUUCCAUCCGACUUGAUACAGACCUUAAUUAGAUGGGUCCCGAGUACUGAUGAGGAGCUCAGGCUUCGACUAUAUACUGGGGAACUCUCACAGCUUGGUCCUGCAGAGCAGUUCUUAAAAGCAAUCUUCGACAUUCCUUAUAUCUAUGAGCGCCUGGACGCAUUACUUUUCAUGGCUGGUUUACCAGAGGAAACUUCAAAUGUAAAGCAAUCUUUUGCCACCUUAGAGGUAAUAGCAUUACCAUUAUGACCUAUUUGGCUUCCACACUAUAUUCAGUUCUGUUGUAUGACUUGUAUCAGUCUUGUUUGAUGCUCUGUAGUCCUUUAACCGAUGAACAUUUUUAUCAAGUAAUAAUAGAGAUUAUCGUAGUGUAGAUGUUACCACUCUUCCUGCACCUUGAUGUUUCUACCGAUCUUCUUAUCUCUGCUAUCUUGGCAUUUAAAUCCUGAUCAGAUGGCUUGUGAGGAGCUUAAAAACAGCCGUCUAUUCUUGAAGUUACUAGAAGCUGUACUUAAAACAGGGAAUCGGAUGAAUGUUGGCACGUUCAGAGGAGGAGCUCAAGCGUUCAAACUAGACACCCUGCUCAAGCUUUCCGACGUCAAAGGAACUGAUGGGAAGAUAACGCUGCUGCAUUUUGUUGUUCAAGAGAUGAUCCAUUCUGAAGGUGUCCGUUCUGCACGGGCUGCAAAGGAGCAGACGGGCAGCGUAUCCAGUGUGGACAACAAUGAUCUUAUUGAAGAGGAAUAUAAACAACUAGGUCUGCAGGCUGUGUCCAGUUUAGGAGAUGAACUUCAAAAUGUCAGGAAUGCAGCAAUCCUUGAUGCAGAUCAGUUGGCUAUGUCGGUAGCAAGUGUCGUCCACAGGCUUGGCAAAACCAAAGAAUUCUUGAACACAAGCAUGAAAAGUCUGGAUGAAGAUAGUGGGUUUCACCGCAAGCUUGUGCAUUUCGUGGAGCAGUCUCAAACUGAUGUUACUUUCUUGCUAGAGGAAGAGAAGAAAAUACGGUCCUUGGUAAAGAGCACUGUCGAUUAUUUCCAUGGGAGGACAGGGAAGGAUGAGGGCCUUCGGUUAUUUGUCGUAGUGCGGGAUUUUCUCGCAAUGCUUGACAAGGUCUGCAAUGAGGUGAAAGAAGCAUCAAAAGUAACUCCAAAGAAAACGAAGACUGAAGUUACUCUGCCUUCCCACACACCCAGGUCUUUUCAAGAUCCCCGGCGUAGUUCCCACACACCCAGGUCUUCUCAAGAUCCCCGGCAUAACCUUUUUCCGGCAAUUCAAAACCGGAGGGCAGAUAGUUCAAGCUCUAGUUCUGAGGAGGGAAGUUAACUCUAAACGAAGGUACUCUGCCUACCUUUUCCUUCCAGCGCUUGGAGGUUUGCCCUUUGAAAACAUUAGUAAGAAGAGAUGGAAAACCGGAGCUAAAGAAAAAGCAAGAGAUGGAAAUUGACGAUAAAGCGAACUCUGGCUUUGGUCACUUGUUGCAGCAACAGAAUAAAAUUGCUGAAGGAAGGCAUUCAUCUUCCAUAACGUCCUUGACAGGCAAUUGUUGCACUUUGGCUCCUAUCAAACAAGCAAAGGUGAUAUUCACGAUCAAGAUGGAGAAGUCGCAACGGAAGCCGUCGAAAGGGGCGGCGAAGAAAACUGACCCCUUAGUUAGGGCGGGCGUGCAGAACAGGGAGGGAGGAAGAAGCAGCAGGCUGGCUGACUGACUGUGACACUGCCUGCUGUUUUUUCGCUUAGGAUUUGUACCAUCACAGAAAGGAGAGGAAUAAAUAUAGUAUUCUUUUAGGGGAAUAAAUGCAGCAUUAGAAAGAAAGAGAUGCACCACACAGGCUCAUAAACAUGAUAAUACCUUUGCAAAGAGCAAAGCUGUAAAUUGUCAUCCUUUCAACUGAAACAUCCUGUGUGUUCGCGUCAUGUGAUUAUAUACUCUGGGCGACUUGGUGUGCCUUUUGCAAUGUGGCGUGAGACCUAGUACCAGAUUCGUGCUGCUGUGCUGUGGUCGAUCUGUACCUACCGUUUCUGCACCGUCUGGAUAGUCAGGGCACUCAAAACAAUGUGCAGCGCUGCUAUAUUAGGAGUGAUAAUUGUUUCGUCUCCCGUGCCAUUUCUUUACAGAAUCCUUUUUUAUCCCAGGUAUUACUAGAUCGCAAGUAUUUCCCGCCAAAUGUCUUGCUCGUGAAAAACAUCGCCACACAUAGUCCACUACUCCCCGCCAAAAUUCCAUUAUCCCUGACUCGAGCCGUAGCACACCUACGUAUUGUAAAGACGAGAGCAUCCUUAGUCUAACAGCUUCGCAGAUUAAUUUUAGUAAGGAUUUCGCAGUUAUAUCGAGUUCUCUAACCAUGAAAGAAUUGGGCAAGAAUAGACGAUGGAAAUUUUCGACCAAGAACAGAGUGGUAGAAAUUGGCAAGUAAGCAAUCCAUAGGUGCAACUUUUAUAUAACGUACUAACAACGAAUUACAAAGGAUGCAACCAUUGUCCACGGCUAGUUUAGCACCGGUACAAGCACACAGAUUCAGAAACUAAUAGCAGUACUACCAUCCUAGAAGUAAAACGCAACACCUAGGCAACAUUUAACUGAACACGCUACUACACAGAACUGGAUACAGCCGAGCACCCACGACCACCGAGGAGGAGUCGUCAUCUAG
Molecule: long non-coding RNA, 88430 nt
Filed under: Triticum aestivum (bread wheat)
Lineage: Eukaryota; Viridiplantae; Streptophyta; Magnoliopsida; Poales; Poaceae
Description: long non-coding RNA (TAES_LNC023946)
Source: RNAcentral